UUUCACUCACAAAAAGGUAGAAAUUGCAAUGCGGCCAUCCCAGCAUAUCAAAACAUUUCUGGUUGUGGCGAUGACCUUUUUUCCCAUAUGAUCCUAGAAAAUGGAUCGGGUUCCACUAUCAAGGGAUAACGAAACAACAAAUGCACAAAAAACAUCCCAGUGCAAGAACAUAGCCUAAAACUGGUUUCAACUGCUAACAACAAAAGCUAAUGGAUCCAAAUCUACUGCAAGUUGACUUGGGGUUCACAAUCAUCCCAAGCAAAAUGUUUUCGAUCACUAGCAUCAUCAUUCAGAAAACUCCAUUGCAUCGUUCCUCGUCCAGUAUUUCUCCAUUAGUUCACCUUCACCCACUUCUUGCUCCUCAUUUUCUCCAGCAUUACUCGCCUCGAUCCUCAACACAAGAUUUCUUGGCUCCGUGCGCCCACCAACAUGAUGUGCCAAUGCUUCUCGCUUCAAAGCAACAACACCUUGUUCCAGAAUCGCACACUCUUCAUUAUUUUGUAGAUUUGCCCAAUAAAGGAUAAACAUGCAUGCAUAACAAACGAAUUCAGCAAGAGAUCUAGUAAUUUUUUUCUCAAAACAAUAUCUAUUACAUAACUUGGAUGGGAAUGUAGUGGCUUAUCGUGAAGGUGAUGCACUCAUGGACUUGUAGUAGAGCUGGUAGCUGCCACAACAGCUUCCCUAUAUGUGGGUGGCCUUGAGGCAGGCGUCGCAGAGGGGCAUCUCUCCUCCAUCUCCUAUUAGGUCACAUCUGUGGAGUCCCUCGGUGUCUACCAUGACGUUGCUAUCAGGUCCCAUGGCUAUGGCUACUUUCAAGUUCCACUCACAGAUUGAUGAUGAGAUCUGAUCUAUUAGAUCCCAAAAUACCUAAAGCAUUAUAUCUCUGUGAGCAUGCAUGCUAAAGGUAGCAGAUCAAACCCAAACAAACAAGUAAAAAAGACCAAGACACUCACCGUCCUCUUGGGGUGGAAAUUGAUGUAGUCAUAGCCACACGACCUGUAAGCAAAUUUGUGGCAGAUGCGCAAGGAAGCCACGGGAGCGACCUGGUCAUCGAUCUAGAAGAGUUGGCCCUCCGUAACACCUGUCUCUUGGUCAUCAUUGAGGCCAGGAAUGGCUGGUUUGUCAUUGCUACCGAUGGUCGCCAAACCAAUGGAUCUAGGAGGUGGCGACGUCAUCAGAGCCAGGGUGGAACGCUUGCCAUUGGUAGUCGUUGUUCACUAACCCGAGGAGUGAAGAUUACUAUACUAUGGGUAACCGGCUGGUCUAGUUGUAUCGACUAUAUAUUGAGUCCUCUCUUAUCGACAUCGAGUCCUCUUGUCCGCCGGAUGCUCUCUCCGGUAUGCUUUUGUAUAGGUGCUAAUUAAUGAAAUUUAUUUGCUACCUUUUAGAUAGGCUUCAGGUGUAAUUGUUAGAGACGCGUAUUUUUUGUGUAUCUGCAUGCUGGAGAGUUGCGGCAAUUGGGUCCACAUUCUAGUCUAUAUGCGUGUGAUGGGCUGCUGCAUGUAGGUAGAUAUGGACUACAAAGUUCUUCUAUCUAUUUAGUGCGAUAUCACUACUAAUUAAUGUUUGAGAUAGAGUAGAUAUCACUACAAAUUAAUGUUUGAGAUAGAUUAGAUCAACUUUUACCACAUCGUGGUCAAUGAUCGUUGACUCGUGAGGGGUCCCUCGCCGCCUUUCUUGGUCAAGGCAUCUCCAACACCGACCCUCAAGCCUCCUGCAUCCGCCCGGACAGUGAAAGCUAUCCAACGUGCUCCUGUAUCGGUACGAGGCGCGGUCCAGAUGUAUACUUUCUCCUGCAAAUGGGAGACAAACGUGGGGAGUGGGAGGGGGGCUUUGCGGGAGUCUGCACCGCUCCCACGCCCGCUUCUGACCACCCUGGCCCGCCCAAACCUCCUUCUGCAUCCCGCGCGCUUCCCGCCCGACGCCAACUGCCCACAUUCACGCCGCUGUAGAGCGCGGCGCCCCACAUAUUGAAGCGGCGCACCCCCCGAUGACGCCGGCCACUGCACGCCCGACUGAACACGUCUCCAUUAAACCCGUGUGAAAGCUGAGGAACCUACUCCAGCCACACGUUCGUUCACGAGCGGGCCGACAUUAAAUGCAACGCCGGGAAAGCUCCUCCCAUGUGCCCUCUAUUUAAACAAGGCCAGACGUCGGGCAAGAAACGCACCACUCCGCCGCUCCCCAUCUCAUCCUUCCACAAUUUUCUUCGCCCUUUUGAUGGCAUCCGGUGAGCACUAAGAGCAUUUCCCCCGCAUAAAAGCCAGCUAGGUGUCCCACCGAGCCCGCCGAAUACGAGUGAUGCCGCUCACUGCUCCACCUCCCUCGUCUGGCCCGACGGAGCAAGUUGCCACCCCAAACUGACGCAUGGUUCACCACCUCGCCGCUCCAAGCCAGCUCACAAGGGAGCGGCCAUUUGCUCUAGGACGACACGACGACAUAGGCAUCGUAGCACCCAUGGUGACGCUGCGUCAUACUGCGUCUCUGAUGCCUAGGACCGUGCCAUCCGCCAGCAACGCGUGUGUAGCCGUGCGCUGCUGGCAGAGAAAGAAGCUGGCAGCAUAGAGAUCGAUGAGUCGGUGGAUGGCACGUCCACGUCCGCCGCCAACAUCGAGGGAAAGUAGAACACGGAGUAUAGCUGAUGACCUGUCCGGUUCUUCUUUAUCUCAGACCAUCAUUGGCCCCGCCUAGGCUCCACGAAAGCGGAGCCCCCCCUUCCCUCCAGCUGAAGCACCCUCUUUGCCACCGCGAUGAGUGGCGCGACCAAACAUAGGGAAGAUACGAGGGAAGAAUAUACCUCUGGGGCUCCCGACAGUCCGGGUAGUGGGCUGCCGGACAUGGAGAAGACAAAGGGAUCCUUCGCGUCCAGCCGUAGACUAGUGUAGUGUUUCUGUGUCGUGGGAGUGGAGCUCCACGCGACUGUAUGUGCACAUAGUUUUAUCUUUUUUGUUAAAAAUAUGUCCAAAUUGUAACUGUUUUCGUCCAGUUUGAAUGAAAUCCAUCAUGUUUAUAUGAAAUCCACCCAUGUUUGCAUGAAUUUCAUCCGGUUUGCUGAAAAAAUGUUUGCAAUGUAUGCGGCUACGAUUGGAUAGCGGCCUCCCGCAUCCGUUUGCUGGCUGCUAUUGGAGAUGCCCUCAAGCCAGCGUUUGGGCGGGUGUAAGGUGUCCCAUCAUCGGUACAGACAAAGUAUUGUAGGAUUUCUGAUCAAUAGAACUGGAAAGUCUCCGGGUGUGGAAACAUCCUCAUAAUCUUUACUACUCCAUCAUGAUUUAUAUGCCUCGCACAUAUUUCAAUAUAAACAUUGAAAAUUAAUUUAUUCAACAAAAUAUUAGUUAUAUGUCACAAAAACAAAACGUUAGAUUCACAUUCUAAACAAGUUUCCAAUGGUAUAGUUUUUGUGACAUAUAACUCAUAUUUUAUUGAUAAAUCAACGUACAUUUUUUUAUUGAAAUGCUUAAGACUUAUGAAUCAUGUUAGAGGUUAGACUCCACGAAUGACGAAAUUUAUCCCCAAGGUAUCUCUGACAAAAUUGUUACUCUAAUGUCACUUAUCAACAUGUGAUCCAAGUCAUAGCAAUAUCCAACCAAUAAUCCAAUGAAUAACGUAAUCAUAUCAUUUCCACUUACUCCGUAAGCAAUAAUAUCAAAUAUGAUCAUAUGAAAAUAUAGCUAAUGACCCUACUAAUCCGAUGGUAACAUGCCAAUAUCCAACUUGUAAACUACUCUACUAGUCACAAGAAAUCCAAGCAAUAACACGGCAAGAGAUAAUUCUAAUAAUUCCUCCAAGAUUGCCAUGAAUAAAUCAUCAUCAAGUAAUUCAAAAUAAAUCGAGUUUUAUUAUAUUAACCAUGGAAUUUCAUUGCAAUUAUGCAAGUGGAGGUUGUGGCUUGCCUUGCUCCAAGCGAGUGUUGCGAGUACUCUUGGUCUUCAUCAAACAGUGCUAACACUCUGGAAAACAAUAUUAACAAGCAAAAUAAAUUCUCUAUCUAGAAAUUCUAGACAACAAAGAAAAGUGUGAAACUCUACCAGAAAAUAAAGGAGCUCACAAGAGAAAAAAAUGCAAAAAGAAUCAACUCAUUUGGACUUGUAGUUUAGGAGCAAUGGAUGGUGAAAGUUGUGGUCAAACUGGAUUAAAAUAGCGUUAAAAUGGAUUUUCUGGAAUCUCCAUGGGCCGACGUCGAAGACUUAAACAAGGAAUACACUUUGACUUAAAUAUUUGGAUAUAUCUUCAAACAUGAUAUUUAAGAAUAGGAGAUUAAAUUGAAGAAGCCAUUGUUAACAAUGACAAAAGCAACAUGUGGGCAUGGAUCAAAACAAGGGAUAUUUACUUUGACAGUCUAAAAUUUGUGAUGUAUCUUGAGUCCAAACUGUAACGACUCUCAUGUUUAACGACGAUUGAGGUGUUUGGAAGUAUUGUUUGAAUACAUCCUCAAACAUAAUAUUUUUUAAAAAUUAAGUGAACAAAACAAAAAAAAUAUUGUGUGGGUUGGGGUGAAGUGUGUGUGGGGGAGGGGGUGGGGGGUGGGGGGGAUUAUUAUCGGAUAGUAUAUUUCACCUAAUUUUGUAACGCAAGCAUCCUGGUCAAUAUGUCCUCAAGAUACAUUCACACCUUUCCCCUCCCGGGCCGCUCGCGCGGGCGGCUCCGGAAGAAAAAACCUAGAUCCAAGCGCCCCUCCUCCCGAAGACAUCCUGGCCGCCGCCGUCGCCGCCGGCGGCGGUGGCGGCGCCCGGCUGCCAAAGGCAGCGGGCAAGAUCUGCACGCCCUGACAUGGCUCCUUCGCGCGGGCGAGCACCGUCUUGUGGGCGUCGUGACCGCUGGCGGUUCUGGUGCGGUGGCGCGCGGCAGAGAGCACUGGAGGAGGAGGAGCACGGUCGCGAGGUGGAGAGGGGUGGCGGUCUUCCUCGGGCGCCGGCGUGUGUGUCGGAGGCCGCGGCGCGGGGUCCCUGGCGGCUGCAGAUCUUGGAAUGGAGUGGUGACCGGGCGCGGCGGCCGGGAGUUGCGGUGGUGUCCGGGGCGUGCGGUGUGCUUCCUGCCGGCGCUAGAGUGGCUCGGGGAAGGCAGCGCCUUGGAUUGCUAGUGGCAGGGAUGUAGCUGGCAUGUAGGCAUUGGGGUCAAUUGACCCCAAUGGAUUUACUAAAUCCUUCAUUAUCUUAGUACUAAUCACUGUUGAUUUAUAGAAGAUGACCCCAUUGCCAUGGAUAUGACCCCAUCAAGCUUUUUUCUAGCUUCGUCCCUGGCUGGUGGUGGCGCGGUCAGGAUCUGGCCAGAGCUCGGUUCAGGAAAUCGCAAAGGGAGCACCUUGGUGGUGCGUGCGUUCGCUGGAGGCGCAGUGCGCUGGCUCCUCCCGUCCGUGCCCCUGGUCGCAGCGGCUUGGCUGGCUGCCAGAGUGGUUUGGCCAGCCCACGCCUGUGGUGCCGGCGGGUCUUGGCAGCGCCAGGGAGGGUGGCUUGGAGCUGGUGACGUUUGUCUUUCGACCGUGCAGGAGCUGGAGGUUGGCCGGCGUGGUCUCGGCUGUGUGAUGGGUCGGUGUUCCGCGACGGUUUUGGCCAUGAUGGCAAGGCGCUGCUGCAACGACGGUGUAACCCUGACAGAUUAGCCCAAUCCUUGGAUAGGGGUGGGAGGUGUGCGACUGUUGGAUGAAAAUCCUGCUCGUGUCUUCGGCCGGAGCUGGCGGCGACGGUGCCUGAGGGAGUCGUUUCCCUCCUUGGAGGUGUCGCUGAGGUGUGUCGGCAUCUCCCCUUCUUGAUCGGGAUGUGGUCUCCAGGCGAAAGCCUUGGUCUAUUGUAGGACUGGCGAUGGCGACGGUAUAACGUCGUUACUCUAUUGAGAGCAUCGUAGGCGGAGACUUGGCUUGCUGAUUCUGUCUGGUGGUUCUCCGGUGCUUGCCGCUGGUUCGAGUCGAUCUUUGUGGGCGCUAUGUACGUAGCCGCCGGUGAACUGAAGACGAUGGCUUUCUCGGGACCGACCGAGUCCCGCUACCCACCCGCCGUCUCCUCUUAGGCAUUCAAAGGUGGUAGUGCGUGUUGGAAAUAUGCCCUAGAGGCAAUAAUAAAAGGGUUAUUAUUAUAUUUCCUUGUUCAUGAUAAUUGUCUUUUAUUCAUGCUAUAACUGUAUUAUCCGGAAAUCGUAAUACACAUGUGAAUACAUAGACCAUAACAUGUCCCUAGUGAGCCUCUAGUUGACUAGCUCGUUGGUCAACAGAUAGUCAUGGUUUCUGACUAUGGACAUUAGAUGUCAUUGACAACGGGAUCACAUCAUUAGGAGAAUGAUGUGAUGGACGAGACCCAAUCCUAAGCAUAGCACAAGAUCGUGUAGUUAGUUUUGCUAGAGCUUUUCCAAUGUCAAGUAUCUCUUCCUUAGACCAUGAGAUCGUGUAACUCCCGGAUACAGUAAGAGUGCUUUGGGUGUACCAAACGUCACAACGUAACUGGGUGACUAUAAAGGUGCACUACAGGUAUCUCCGAAAGUGUCUGUUGGGUUGACAUGGAUCGAGACUGGGAUUUGUCACUCCGUAUGACGGAGAGGUAUCUCUGGGCCCACUCGGUAAUGCAUCAUCACAAUGAGCUCAAAGUGACCAAGUGUUUGGUCACGGGAUCAUGCAUUACGAUACGAGUAAAGUGACUUGCCGGUAACGAGACUGAACGAGGUAUUGGGAUACCGACGAUCGAGUCUCGGGCAUGUAACGUACCGAAUGAGAAAGGGAAUUGUAUACGGGGUUGUUCUAAUCCUCGACAUCGUGGUUCAUCCGAUGAGAUCAUCGAGCAGCAUGUGGGAGCCAACAUGGGUAUCCAGAUCCCGCUGUUGGUUAUUGCCCGAGAGCCGUCUCGGUCAUGACUACGUGUCUCCCGAACCCGUAGGGUCUACACACUUAAGGUUCGGUGACGCUAGGGUUGUAUGAAUAUGAGUAUGCAGUAUACCGAAUGUUGUUUGGAGUCCCGUAUGAGAUCCCGGACGUCACGAGGAGUUUCGGAAUGGUCCGGAGGUAAAGAAUUAUAUAUAGGAAGUGGUAUUUCGGCCAUCGGGAAAGUUUCGGGGUCACCCGGUAUUGUACCGGGACCACCGGAAGGGUCCCGGGGGUCCACCGGGUGGGGCCACCCAUCCCGGAGGGCCCCAUGGGCUGAAGUGGGAGGGGAGCCAGCCCAUAGUGGGCUGGUGCGCCCCCCUAGGCCCACCCCCUGCGCCUAGGGUUGAAACCCUAGGGUGGGGGGCGCACCACAUGCCUUGGGGGGCACUCCUCCCCCCUUGGCCGCCGCCCCCUUGGGAGAUUGAAUCUCCCAGGGCCGGCGCCCCCCCUUGGGGGCCUAUAUAAAGGGAGGGGGGAGAGGGGCAGCCGCACCCUGAAGUCCUGGCGCCCCCUCCCCCUGCUACACCUCUUCCUCCUCCGUCACGUGCUUGGCGAAGCCCUGCCGGACUGCUGCUGUUCCACCACCACCACGCCGUUGUGCUGCUGCUGGAGCCAUCAUCAUCAACCUCUCCUCCCCCCUUGCUGGAUCAAGAAGGAGGAGACGUCACACGCACCGUACGUGUGUUGAACGCGGAGGUGCCGUCCGUUCGGCGCUAGGAUCUCCGGUGAUCUGAAUCACGGCGAGUACGACUCCAUCAUCACCGCUCCCUCUAACACUUCCGUAUGGGAUCUACAAGUGGUAUGUAGAUGCAAACUCACUCCCUUGACUCAUUGCUUAGAUGAACUCAUAGAUGGAUCUUGGUGAAACCGUAGGAAAAUUUUUAAUUUUCUGCAACGUUCCCCAACAGUGGCAUCAUGAGCUAGGUCUAUGCGUAGUUCUCUAUUGCACGAGUAGAACACAAUUUUGUUGUGGGCGUAGAUCUUGUCAACUUGCUUGCCGCUACUAGUCUUAUCUUGCUUUAGCGGUAUUGUGGGAUGAAGCGGCCCGGACCAACCUUACACGUACGCUUACGUGAGACCGGUUCCACCGACUAACAUGCACUAGUUGCAUAAGGUGGCUGGCGGGUGUCUGUCUCUCCCACUUUAGUUGGAGCGGAUUCGAUGAAAAGGGUCCUUAUGAAGGGUAAAUAGAAGUUGACAAAAUCACGUUGUGGUUAUUCGUAGGUAAGAAAACGUUCUUGCUAGAACCCAAUUGCAGCGACGUGAAAGAUGCAACAACAAUUAGAGGACGUCUAACUUGUUUUUGCAGCAAUUGUCAUGUGAUGUGAUAUGGCCAGAAGUUGUGAUGAAUGAUGAAUGAUAUAUUGUGAUGUAUGAGAUCAUGUUCUUGUAAUAGGAAUCACGACUUGCAUGUCGAUGAGUAUGAAAACCGGCAGGAGCCAUAGGAGUUGUCUUUAUUUUUGUAUGACCUGCGUGUCAUUGAAGAAUGCCAUGUAAACUACUUUACUUUAUUGCUAAACGCGUUAGUCAUAGAAGUAGAAGUAGUCGUUGGCGUGACAACUUCAUGAAGACAUGAUGAUGGAGAUCAUGAUGAUGGAGAUCAUGGUGUCAUGCCGGUGACAAGAUGAUCAUGGAGCCCCGAAGAUGAAGAUCAAAGGAGCUAUAUGAUAUUGGCCAUAUCAUGUCACUACUUUAUAUAAUUGCAUGUGAUGUUUAUUAUGUUUUAUGCAUCUUGUUUACUUAGAACGACGGUAGUAAAUAAGAUGAUCCCUUGCAACAAUUUCAAGAAGUGUUCUCCCCUAACUGUGCACCGUUGCUAAAGUUCGUCGUUUCGAAGCACCACGUGAUGAUCGGGUGUGAUAGAUCCUUACGUUCACAUACAACGGGUGUAAGACAGUUUUACACAUGCAAAACACUUAGGGUUAACUUGACGAGCCUAGCAUGUACAGACAUGGCCUCGGAACACGGAGACCGAAAGGUCGAACACGAGUCGUAUGGAAGAUACGAUCAACAUGAGAAUGUUCACUGACGAUGACUAGUCCGUCUCACGUGAUGAUCGGACACGGCCUAGUCAACUCGGAUCGUGUAACACUUAGAUGACUGAGGGGAUGUCAAAUCUGAGUGGGAGUUCAUUAAAUAAUUUGAUUGGAUGAACUUAAUUAUCAUGAACUUAGUCUAAAAUCUUUGCAAAAUAUGUCUUGUAGAUCAAAUGGCCAACGCUCAUGUCAACAUGAACUUCAACGCGUUCCUAGAGAAAACCAAGCUGAAAGAUGAUGGCAGCAACUAUACGGACUGGGUCCGGAACCUUAGGAUCAUCCUCAUAGCUGCCAAGAAAGCAUAUGUCCUUGAAGCACCAUUAGGUGACCCACCUACUCUCCCAGCACUGCAAGACGAUUUGAACGUUUGGCAGACACGUGCUGAUGAUUACUCCCUCGUUCAGUGCGGCAUGCUUUACAGCUUAGAACCGGGGCUCCAAAAGCUUUUUGAGCAACACGGGGCAUAUGAGAUGUUCGAGGAGCUGAAACUAGUUUUCCAAGCUCAUGCCCGGGUCGAGAGAUAUGAAGUCUCCAACAAGUUCUAUAGUUGUAAGAUGGAGGAAAACAGUUCUGUCAGUGAGCAUAUACUCAAAAUGUCUGGGUUGCACAGCCGCCUGUCCCAGCUGGACAUUAACCUCCUGGAUGAGGCGGUCAUUGACAGAAUCCUUCAGUCGCUCCCACCAAGCUACAAGAGCUUUGUGAUGAACUAUAAUAUGCAGGGGAUGGUGAAGACCAUUCCUGAAGUAUUUUCAAUGCUGAAGUCGGCAGAGGUUGAAAUCAAGAAAGAACAUCAAGUGUUGAUGGUUAAUAAGACCACUAAGUUCAAGAAGGGCAAGGGUAAGAAGAACUUCAAGAAGGACGGCAAAGAUGUUGCCGCGCCCGGUAAGCCAGUUGCCGGGAAGAAGUCAAAGAAUGGACCCAAGCCUGAGACUGAGUGCUUUUAUUGCAAGGGGAAGGGUCACUGGAAGCGGAACUGCCCCAAAUACUUAGCGGAUAAGAAGGCCGGCAACAGUAAAGGUAUAUUUGAUAUACAUGUAAUUGAUGUGUACCUUACCAAUACUCGUAGUAACUCCUGGGUAUUUGAUACCGGUGCCGUUGCUCAUAUUUGUAACUCAUAGCAGGAGCUGCGGAAUAAGCGGAGACUGGCGAAGGACGAGGUGACGAUGCGCGUCGGGAAUGGUUCCAAGGUCGAUGUGAUCGCCGUCGGCACACUACCUCUACAUUUACCUACGGGAUUAGUUAUAAACCUUAAUAAUUGUUAUUUGGUGCCAAGUUUGAGCAUGAACAUUGUAUCUGGAUCUCGUUUGAUACGAGAUGGAUACUCAUUUAAAUCCGAGAAUAAUGGUUGUUCUAUUUAUAUGAGAGAUAUGUUUUAUGGUCAUGCCCCUAUGGUCAAUGGUUUAUUCUUAAUGAAUCUCGAGCGUAAUGUUACACAUAUUCAUAGCGUGAAUACCAAAAGAUGUAAAGUUGAUAACGAUAGUCCCACAUACUUGUGGCACUGCCGCCUUGGUCACAUUGGUGUCAAGCGCAUGAAGAAGCUCCAUGCUGAUGGACUUUUGGAGUCUCUCGAUUAUGAAUCAUUUGACACAUGCGAACCAUGCCUCAUGGGCAAAAUGACCAAGACUCCGUUCCCCGGAACAAUGGAGCGAGCAACCAACUUGUUGGAAAUCAUACACACCGAUGUGUGCGGUCCAAUGAGUGUUGAGGCUCGCGGAGGAUAUCGUUAUGUUCUCACUCUCACUGAUGACUUGAGUAGAUAUGGGUAUGUCUACUUGAUGAAACACAAGUCUGAGACCUUUGAAAAGUUCAAGGAAUUUCAGAAUGAAGUAGAGAAUCAACGUGACCGAAAGAUAAAAUUCUUACGAUCGGAUCGUGGAGGAGAAUAUUUAAGUCACGAAUUUGGUACACACUUAAGAAAAUGUGGAAUCGUUUCACAACUCACGCCGCCUAGAACACCUCAGCGAAACGGUGUGUCCGAACGUCGUAAUCGCACUCUAUUGGAUAUGGUGCGGCCUAUGAUGUCUCUUACCGAUUUACCGCUAUCAUUUUGGGGAUACGCUCUAGAGACAGCUACAUUCACUUUAAAUAGGGCACCGUCUAAAUCCGUUGAGACGACACCGUAUGAAUUAUGGUUUGGGAAGAAACCUAAGUUGUCGUUUCUAAAAGUUCGGGGAUGCGAUGCUUAUGUCAAGAAACUUCAACCUGAAAAGCUCGAACCCAAGUCGGAAAAAUGUGUCUUCAUAGGAUACCCUAAAGAAACCAUUGGGUAUACCUUCUACUUAAGAUCCGAGGGCAAGAUCUUUGUUGCCAAGAACGGAUCCUUUCUGGAAAAAGAGUUUCUCUCGAAAGAACUAAGUGGGAGGAAAGUAGAACUCGAUGAAGUACUACCUCUUGAACAGGAUAGUAGUGCAGCUCAGGAAAAUGUUCCUGUGAUGCCUACACCAACUGAAGAGGAAAAUAAUGAUGAUGAUCAAGGUACUUCUGAUCAAGUUACUACUGAACUUCGUAGGUCCACAAGGACACGUUCCGCACCAGAGUGGUACGGCAACCCUGUCCUGGAAAUCAUGUUGUUAGACAACCGUGAACCUUCGAACUAUGAAGAAGCGAUAGCGGGCCCAGAUUCCAACAAAUGGCUUGAAGCCAUGAAAUCCGAGAUAGAAUCCAUGUAUGAAAACAAAGUAUGGACUUUGACUGACUUGCCCGAUGAUCGGCGAGCGAUAGAAAACAAAUGGAUCUUUAAGAAGAAGACGGACGCGGAUGGUAAUGUCACCAUCUAUAAAGCUCGACUUGUCGCUAAGGGUUAUCGGCAAGUUCAAGGGAUUGACUACGAUGAGACUUUCUCUCCCGUAGCGAAGCUUAAGUCCGCCCGAAUCAUGUUAGCAAUUGCCGCAUACUAUGAUUAUGAGAUAUGGCAAAUGGACGUCAAAACGACAUUCCUUAACGGUUAUCUUAAGGAAGAGCUAUAUAUGAUGCAGCCGGAAGGUUUUGUCGAUCCUAAGAACGCUAACAAAGUAUGCAAGCUCCAGCGAUCCAUUUAUGGGCUGGUGCAAGCAUCUCGGAGUUGGAACAUUCGCUUUGAUGAGAUCAUCAAAGCGUUUGGGUUUAUGCAGACUUAUGGAGAAGCCUGCGUUUACAAGAAAGUGAGUGGGAGCUCUGUAGCGUUUCUCAUAUUAUAUGUAGAUGACAUACUUUUGAUGGGAAAUGAUAUAGAUUCUUGGACAGCAUUAAGGCCUACUUGAAUAAGUGUUUUUCAAUGAAGGACCUUGGAGAAGCUGCUUACAUAUUAGGCAUCAAGAUCUAUAGGGAUAGAUCGAGACGCCUCAUAGGUCUUUCACAAAGCACAUACCUUGAUAAGAUUUUGAAUAAGUUCAAAAUGGAUCAGUCCAAGAAAGGGUUCUUGCCUGUAUUGCAAGGUGUGAGAUUGAGCUCGGCUUAAUGCCCGACCAUGGCAAAAGAUAAAGAAGAGAUGAUCGUCAUCCCCUAUGCCUCAGCCAUAGGAUCUAUUAUGUAUGCCAUGCUAUGUACCAGACCUGAUGUAAACCUUGCCGUAAGUUUGGUAGGAAGGUACCAAAGUAAUCCCGGCAAGGAACACUGGACAGCGGUCAAGAAUAUCCUGAAGUACCUGAAAAGGACAAAGGACAUGUUUCUCGUUUAUGGAGGUGAUGAAGAGCUCGUCGUAAAGGGUUACGUCGAUGCUAGCUUCGACACAGAUCUGGAUGACUCUAAGUCACAAACCGAAUACGUGUAUAUGUUGAAUGGUGGAGCAGUAAGCUGGUGCAGCUGCAAGCAGAGCGUCGUGGCGGGAUCUACAUGUGAAGCGGAGUACAUGGCAGCCUCGGAGGCAUCGCAUGAAGCUAUUUGGGUGAAGGAGUUCAUCACCGACCUAGGAGUCAUACCCAAUGCGUCGGGGCCGAUCAAACUCUUCUGUGACAACACUGGAGCUAUUGCCCUUGCCAAGGAGCCCAGGUUUCACAAGAAGACCAGGCACAUCAAGCAUCGUUUCAACUCCAUCUGAGAAAAUGUUCAAGAUGGAGACAUAGAUAUUUGCAAAGUACAUACGGAUCUGAAUGUCGUAGAUCCGUUGACUAAACCUCUCUCGCGAGCAAAACAUGAUCAACACCAGAACUCUAUGGGUGUUCGAUUCAUCACAAUGUAACUAGAUUAUUGACUCUAGUGCAAGUGGGAGACUGUUGGAAAUAUGCCCUAGAGGCAAUAAUAAAAGGGUUAUUAUUAUAUUUCCUUGUUCAUGAUAAUUGUCUUCUAUUCAUGCUAUAAAUGUAUUAUCCGGAAAUCGUAAUACACGUGUGAAUACAUAGACCAUAACAUGUCCCUAGUGAGCCUCUAGUUGACUAGCUCGUUGGUCGACAGAUAGUCAUGGUUUCUGACUAUAGACAUUAGUUGUCAUUGACAACGGGAUCACAUCAUUAGGAGAAUGAUGUGAUGGACGAGACCCAAUCCUAAGCAUAGCACAAGAUCGUGUAGUUCGUUUUGCUAGAGCUUUUCCAAUGUCAAGUAUCUCUUCCUUAGACCAUGAGAUCGUGUAACUCCCGGAUACCGUAAGAGUGCUUUGGGUGUACCAAACGUCACAACGUAACUGGGUGACUAUAAAGGUGCACUACAGGUAUCUCCAAAAGUGUCUGUUGAUGCUAGCUUCGACACAGAUCUGGAUGACUCUAAGUCACAAACCGAAUACGUGUAUAUGUUGAAUGGUGGAGCAGUAAGCUGGUGCAGCUGCAAGCAGAGCGUCGUGGCGGGAUCUACAUGUGAAGCGGAGUACAUGGCAGCCUCGGAGGCAUCGCAUGAAGCUAUUUGGGUGAAGGAGUUCAUCACCGACCUAGGAGUCAUACCCAAUGCGUCAGGGCCGAUCAAACUCUUCUGUGACAACACUGGAGCUAUUGCCCUUGCCAAGGAGCCCAGGUUUCACAAGAAGACCAGGCACAUCAAGCAUCGUUUCAACUCCAUCUGAGAAAAUGUUCAAGAUGGAGACAUAGAUAUUUGCAAAGUACAUACGGAUCUGAAUGUCGUAGAUCCGUUGACUAAACCUCUCUCGCGAGCAAAACAUGAUCAACACCAGAACUCUAUGGGUGUUCGAUUCAUCACAAUGUAACUAGAUUAUUGACUCUAGUGCAAGUGGGAGACUGUUGGAAAUAUGCCCUAGAGGCAAUAAUAAAAGGGUUAUUAUUAUAUUUCCUUGUUCAUGAUAAUUGUCUUCUAUUCAUGCUAUAACUGUAUUAUCCGGAAAUCGUAAUACACGUGUGAAUACAUAGACCAUAACAUGUCCCUAGUGAGCCUCUAGUUGACUAGCUCAUUGGUCGACAGAUAGUCAUGGUUUCUGACUAUAGACAUUAGUUGUCAUUGACAACGGGAUCACAUCAUUAGGAGAAUGAUGUGAUGGACGAGACCCAAUCCUAAGCAUAGCACAAGAUCGUGUAGUUCGUUUUGCUAGAGCUUUUCCAAUGUCAAGUAUCUCUUCCUUAGACCAUGAGAUCGUGUAACUCCCGGAUACCGUAAGAGUGCUUUGGGUGUACCAAACGUCACAACGUAACUGGGUGACUAUAAAGGUGCACUACAGGUAUCUCCGAAAGUGUCUGUUGGGUUGACACGGAUCGAGACUGGGAUUUGUCACUCUGUAUGACGGAGAGGUAUCUCUGGGCCCACUCGGUAAUGCAUCAUCACAAUGAGCUCAAAGUGACCAAGUGUUUGUUCACGGGAUCAUGCAUUACGGUACGAGUAAAGUGACUUGCCGGUAACGAGACUGAACGAGGUAUUGGGAUACCGACGAUCGAGUCUCGGGCAUGUAACGUACCGAAUGACAAAGGGAAUUGUAUACGGGGUUUUUCUAAUCCUUGACAUCGUGGUUCAUCCGAUGAGAUCAUCGAGGAGCAUGUGGGAGAAAACAUGGGUAUCCAGAUCCCGCUGUUGGUUAUUGCCCGAGAGCCGUCUCGGUCAUCACUUCGUGUCUCCCGAACCCGUAGGGUCUACACACUUAAGGUUCGGUGAUGCUAGGGUUGUAUGAAUAUGAGUAUGCAGUAUACCGAAUGUUGUUCGGAGUCCCAGAUGAGAUCCCGGAUGUCACGAGGAGUUUCGGAAUGGUCCGGAGGUAAAGAAUUAUAUAUAGGAAGUGGUAUUUCGGCCAUCGGAAAAGUUUCGGGGUCACCCGGUAUUGUACCGGGACCACCGGAAGGGUCCCGGGGGUCCACCGGGUGGGGCCACCCAUCCUGGAGGGCCCCAUGGGCUGAUGUGGGAGGGGAGCCAGCCCAUAGUGGGCUGGUGCGCCCCCCUAGGCCCAUCCCCUGCGCCUAGGGUUGAAACCCUAGGGUGGGGGGGGGCACCACAUGCCUUGGGGGGCACUCCUCCCCCCUUGGCCGCCGCCCCCUUGGGAGAUUGAAUCUCCCAGGGCCGGCGCCCCCCCUUGGGGGCCUAUAUAAAGGGAGGGGGAGAGGGGCAGCCGCACCCUGAAGUCCUGGCGCCCCCUCCCCCUGCUACACCUCUUCCUCCUCUGUCACGUGCUUGGCGAAGCCCUGCCGGAGUGCUGCUGUUCCACCACCACCACGCCGUUGUGCUGCUGCUGGAGCCAUCAUCAUCAACCUCUCCUCCCCCCUUGCUGGAUCAAGAAGGAGGAGACGUCACACGCACCGUACGUGUGUUGAACGCGAAGGUGCCGUCCGUUCGGCGCUAGGAUCUCCGGUGAUCUGAAUCACGGCGAGUACGACUCCAUCAUCACCGCUCCCUCUAACGCGUCCGUACGCGAUCUACAAGUGGUAUGUAGAUGCAAACUCACUCUCUUGACUCGUUGCUUAGAUGAACUCAUAGAUGGAUCUUGGUGAAACCGUAGGAAAAAUUUUAAUUUUCUGCAACGUUCCCCAACAGUGCGUUGGCAAGGAAAAUCCGGUUGGAGUUGUUGCUUUUCGAGGUGACCGGUGUUUGUGGUGACGUGACUAGAUGAUUGGUUUAGGGCAGACCCUUUUGCUUGUGUUUGUAACUGUCGUGGUGGCUAAUCUGUUGAUUAGCUUCGGUGUGGAGUUGUGCUACACUUGUUGUUCGCAGCAAGAUGUAGUUUCUUGUACUUGAUUUCUGCCUUCUAUAAAAAUAUGGUACGCCUAGGCGUACUCUCGAAAAAAAAUAUGUCCUCAAGAUUAGAUCAAGUUACAUAAUCAUGUUGAAGUUAAAUCAUCUUGUUGAAUUAAAAAAUGAUAAUAUUUUUUGAUGUAUGUUGAAUCAAACCUCACUCAAAACGGUGGAGAACAGUUGAAUUGUUGAGAUAUGUGAAUAAUUAUUCCAACUAUAUUUGAAAAUCCAGCAAAUAAUAUGGAGCACUGGUAGAAAAAGAGGCUUCCGUCUAGCCCCAUUAGUCGCGAAACUGUAGGAACCGCGACUAAUGAAGUCUUUAGUCGCGGUUCGGCAGACGAACCGCGACCAAAGUCUUGGGCCAGGGCGCUCGGUGGCCAGCUGGUGCACGUGAGGGGCUUUAGUCGCGGUUGGGCAGGCCAACCGCGACUAAAGGUGCCCAAAGGCCUUUAGUCGCGGUUGGCCUGGCCAACCGCGACUAAAGCUCCUCCCCUAUAUAUACCAGUUCAGCGCACUCACUUAGCCAUUUGGUGCCACUUCUCUUCACAAGGGGGUGUAGGUUUGCUUUUGGUUCCUCUUAUGCACACAAGGUGUUUGAUGAAAUGCCCAACAGCGUGAAACAAACAUGAUAUGAAGUGUUGGAGCCACACUUGAGGUUCCUCCUCGAUCGCGGUUAGCAACUUGAACCUUUCAUGCAUGUGUGUCAUUGAUAAAAUAUGCAUGUGUGUUGUUCAUUGUUUAAUUUCUAUUGUUUAUAGCUAGUUACUUUAACAAAUGCAUGAUGGUUAAUUAUAUAUUUUAUAUUAUAAUAAUGCAGAUGAAUCGGCAAUGGAUGUACGGUAACCGACUCUCCCGCGAGUUCACUACGGGUUUGAAAGAUUUCCUCGUAGUGGCUAAUGCGAACAAGCAGAAGGGUUUUGUUAUCUGUCCUUGUGUUGACUGUAAGAAUCAGAAGGGUUACUCUUCCUCAAGAGAAGUUCACCUGCACCUGCUUCGGCACGGUUUCAUGCCAAGCUAUAAUUGUUGGACCAAGCAUGGAGAAAGAGGGGUUAUAAUGGAAGAAGAUGAAGAAGGGGAUGAUUUCAUCGAUGAAAGCUAUCUUGCUCAUUUCGGUGAUACUUUCAUGGAGGAUGCUGAAGGUGAAGGGGAAGGUGAAGGGGCAGGUGAAGGGGAAGGUGAAGGGGAAGGUGAAGGUGAAGGUGAAGAAGAGGCACGUGAUGAGACCGUUGAUGAUCUUGGUCGGACCAUUGCUGAUGCACGGAGACGCUGCGAAACUGAAAAGGAGAGGGAGAAUUUGGAUCGCAUGUUAGAGGAUCACAGAAAGUCGUUGUACCCUGGAUGCGAUGAUGGUCUGAAAAAGCUGGGCUGCACACUGGAUUUGCUGAAAUGGAAGGCACAGGCAGGUGUAGCUGACUCGGCAUUUGAAAACUUGCUGAAAAUGUUGAAGAAUAUGUUUCCAAAGAAUAACGAGUUGCCCGCCAGUAUGUACGAAGCAAAGAAGGUUGUCUGCCCUCUAGGUUUAGAGGUUUUGAAGAUACAUGCAUGCAUCAACGACUGCAUCCUCUACCCGCGGUGAAUACGAGAAUUUGAAUGAAUGCCCGGUAUGCACUGCAUUGCGUUAUAAGAUCAGAGGCGAUGACCCUGGUGACGAUGUUGAGGGCGGGAAACCCAGGAAGAGGGUUCCCGCCAAGGUGAUGUGGUAUACUCCUAUAAUACCACGGUUGAAACGUCUGUUCAGGAACAAAGAGCAUGCCAAGUUGUUGCGAUGGCACAAAGAGGACCGUAAGUCGGACGGGGAGUUGAGACACACCGCAGAUGGAACGCAAUGGAGAAAGAUCGACAGAGAGUUCAAAGAUUUUGCAGCUGACGCAAGGAACAUAAGAUUUGGUCUAAGUACAGAUGGCAUGAAUCCUUUUGGCGAGCAGAGCUCCAGCCAUAGCACCUGGCCCGUGACUCUAUGCAUCUACAACCUUCCUCCUUGGUUGUGCAUGAAGCAGAAGUUCAUUAUGAUGCCAGUGCUCAUCCAAGGUCCGAAGCAACCCGGCAACGACAUCGAUGUGUACCUAAGGCCAUUAGUUGAUGAACUUUUACAGCUGUGUGGCAGACCUGGUGUUCGUGUGUGGGAUGAGCACAAAAAAGAGGAAUUUAACCUACGAGCGUUGCUUUUCGUAACCAUCAAUGAUUGGCCUGCUCUUAGUAACCUUUCGGGACUGUCAAAUAAGGGAUACAAUGCAUGCACGCACUGCUUACAUGAGACUGAAAGUGUACAUUUGCCAAAUUGUAAGAAGAACGUGUACCUUGGGCAUCGUCGAUUUCUUCCGAAAAUUCAUCCAGUAAGAAAGAAAGGCAAGCAUUACAACGGCAAGGCAGAUCACCGGCCGAAGCCUGCGGAACGCACUGGUGCUGAGGUAUUUGAUAUGGUCAAGGAUUUGAAAGUCAUCUUUGGAAAGGGUCCUGGCGGACAAUCAGUUCCGAAGGGAGCUGACGGGCACGCAGCCAUGUGGAAGAAGAAAUCUAUAUUCUGGGAGCUAGAAUAUUGGAAAGUCCUAGAAGUCUGCUCUGCAAUCGACGUGAUGCACGUUACGAAGAAUAUUUGCGUGAACCUCCUAAGCUUCUUGGGCGUGUAUGGGAAGACAAAUGAUACAAAGGAAGCACGGCAGGACCAGCAAUGUUUGAAAGACCCUGAUGACCAGCAUCCGGAAUGGUUUCAAGGUCGUGCCAGCUACGCUCUGACCAAAGAAGAGAAGGUCAUCUUUUUUGAAUGCCUGAGCAGUAUGAAGGUCCCGUCUGGAUUCUCGUCCAAUAUAAAGGGAAUAAUAAACAUGGCGGAGAAAAGUUCCAAAACCUGAAGUCUCACGACUGCCACGUGAUUAUGACGCAAUUGCUUCCGAUUGCUUUGAGGGGGCUCCUGCCGGAAAAUGUUCGAGUAGACAUUGUGAAGCUAUGUGCAUUCCUCAAUGCAAUCUCUCAGAAGGUAAUCAAUCCAGAAGAUCUACCACGGUUACAGAACGAUGUGAUCCAAUGUCUUGUCAGUUUCGAGUUGGUGUUCCCGCCAUCCUUCUUCAAUAUUAUGACGCACCUCUUGGUUCACCUAGUCGAAGAGAUUUUCAUUCUCGGUCCUGUAUUUCUACACAAUAUGUUCCCAUUCGAGAGGUUCAUGGGAGUAUUAAAGAAAUAUGUUCGUAACCGUGCUAGGCCAGAAGGAAGCAUCGCCAAGGGCUAUGGAAAUGAGGAGGUAAUUGAGUUUUGUGUUGACUUUGUUCCUGACCUUAAGCCGAUUGGUCUUCCUCGAUCGCGGCACGAGGGGAGACUAAGUGGAAAAGGCACGAUCGGAAGGAAAUCAACGACAUGUAUGGACGGCCAUUCUCUGACUGAAGCACACCACACUGUACUGACCAAUUCCAGCUUGGUGGCUCCGUACUUUGAGAAACACAAGAAUAUUUUACGCUCGGACAACCCGGGGAAGCCUGAAUCCUGGAUUAGGAAGGCCCACAUGGAGACUUUCGGCAGUUGGUUGAGAAAACAUUUAAUGAAUGACAAUGAUGUUGUAGAUCAGCUGUACAUGUUGGCCAAGACACCAUCUUCGACUAUAACGACUUUCCAAGGGUACGAGAUAAAUGGGAAUACAUUUUACACGAUCGCCNNNNNNNNNNNNNNNNNNNNNNNNNNNNNNNNNNNNNNNNNNNNNNNNNNNNNNNNNNNNNNNNNNNNNNNNNNNNNNNNNNNNNNNNNNNNNNNNNNNNNNNNNNNNNNNNNNNNNNNNNNNNNNNNNNNNNNNNNNNNNNNNNNNNNNNNNNNNNNNNNNNNNNNNNNNNNNNNNNNNNNNNNNNNNNNNNNNNNNNNNNNNNNNNNNNNNNNNNNNNNNNNNNNNNNNNNNNNNNNNNNNNNNNNNNNNNNNNNNNNNNNNNNNNNNNNNNNNNNNNNNNNNNNNNNNNNNNNNNNNNNNNNNNNNNNNNNNNNNNNNNNNNNNNNNNNNNNNNNNNNNNNNNNNNNNNNNNNNNNNNNNNNNNNNNNNNNNNNNNNNNNNNNNNNNNNNNNNNNNNNNNNNNNNNNNNNNNNNNNNNNNNNNNNNNNNNNNNNNNNNNNNNNNNNNNNNNNNNNNNNNNNNNNNNNNNNNNNNNNNNNNNNNNNNNNNNNNNNNNNNNNNNNNNNNNNNNNNNNNNNNNNNNNNNNNNNNNNNNNNNNNNNNNNNNNNNNNNNNNNNNNNNNNNNNNNNNNNNNNNNNNNNNNNNNNNNNNNNNNNNNNNNNNNNNNNNNNNNNNNNNNNNNNNNNNNNNNNNNNNNNNNNNNNNNNNNNNNNNNNNNNNNNNNNNNNNNNNNNNNNNNNNNNNNNNNNNNNNNNNNNNNNNNNNNNNNNNNNNNNNNNNNNNNNNNNNNNNNNNNNNNNNNNNNNNNNNNNNNNNNNNNNNNNNNNNNNNNNNNNNNNNNNNNNNNNNNNNNNNNNNNNNNNNNNNNNNNNNNNNNNNNNNNNNNNNNNNNNNNNNNNNNNNNNNNNNNNNNNNNNNNNNNNNNNNNNNNNNNNNNNNNNNNNNNNNNNNNNNNNNNNNNNNNNNNNNNNNNNNNNNNNNNNNNNNNNNNNNNNNNNNNNNNNNNNNNNNNNNNNNNNNNNNNNNNNNNNNNNNNNNNNNNNNNNNNNNNNNNNNNNNNNNNNNNNNNNNNNNNNNNNNNNNNNNNNNNNNNNNNNNNNNNNNNNNNNNNNNNNNNNNNNNNNNNNNNNNNNNNNNNNNNNNNNNNNNNNNNNNNNNNNNNNNNNNNNNNNNNNNNNNNNNNNNNNNNNNNNNNNNNNNNNNNNNNNNNNNNNNNNNNNNNNNNNNNNNNNNNNNNNNNNNNNNNNNNNNNNNNNNNNNNNNNNNNNNNAAAUAACUUAAAACUUGAUAAUUAACAAAAAAACCGUAAAAUUUGAUAAUUAACAAAAAAAACGUAUAUACGGAGAGGGGGCGGCGAGGGGGGCGGCGAUGCGCGCGGUGUUUUUUUAGGGAUCGAGAGGGGACGGCGAGGGUUAUAAAUGUGUUGUCCUCGCCUCCCUCUCCGUGACGCCGUCGUCUGCCUCCCCGUCUCGCGCUCUACCGCGACACCCUCUCCCACCCCUUCCUCGCCCCCUCCUUUUGCCACUGCCCUUUCGCCACCGCCACCGCCACCGCCCCCCUUCUUCACUUAAUUAAUUUGUUUUUACUACAUGUUUUCAGGACUGACAUAAUGGCGGACGAUAGAGCUGACCCGAUUAUGGACAACUAUGAUCCGGACGGUGAAGCACAUAUGUUCGGCAUCAUAAACGGCGAUAUUCUAUAUGUGCCGACCGGACAAGAAGAAGAUGAUAUCUCUUCUUAUCUGAACCUUGACGGUGAAGAUGAAGGGCGCCGUCAGCAAGAUGAUGCCGAACAAACGUCGAUAAACGACGAUCUUCAAAUGGAAGUAGCAACCACCUCCGGCGCCGAGGUAUAUAUAUAUACAUUGAGCCUCUGGUGAUACAAACUAACUGAUUUGAAUAAAUAUGUUUGGACUAACGCGCGCGACUCUCUUUCUUAUUUUAGCCCUCGGCCGGAUCGUCGAAACAAUCGAGUACGUCGUCAAAGCGUGGCGCAACCAAGACGAUGAAACAAGGAGAAACAUGCACCAUCGAGGUUGUCGACAGUGCAACCGGCAGGCCGCUGGAGCCCCGCAAGAACGCCACCAAGUUUGUCAACCAAUGCGGAGCCAUUGUUAGAGACAACGUCUCGAUCACCGUCCAGGAGUGGAAUAAGCCAAAGAAGGCACGAAUUGCUGGUUUCACUUUCGUCGAUAAGAGAACAAAAAGAGAUUGCUUCAAAAAGCUUAUGGAACAUUUCGUUCUACCUCCGGAAUACAACAAAUUCGAUGAGGAGGGUAACAAGAUUGAGGAAAACAAGGAGAGGAGGAGGCUAGUCAAACAGUUCGCUCUUCAUAAGAUGGCCGACGCAUUCCGGAAAUUCAAGCAAAAUCUAGCCCAUGACUUUGUCAAGCAGAACAAGACUCCGGAUUUCAAAGGACAAUAUGAGAAACUGAAACAUGAUUGCCCAGAAUUUGUGAAGCAAAAGAAAUCGGAGCAGUUCAUUCAAAUAUCGAAAAAAAUAAGGAAAAUGCGGCUAAGAAGGAGUACAAUCAUAUUAUGGGGCCAGGAGGGUAUCGCCUUUGGGAGCCUAGGUGGGAGAAGAUGGAGAACGAGCUGAGAGCGCGAGGAAUCCGUCCAGGUACGGAGGGAUGGGACCCAAGGGCCAAAAGCUGGUGGUACGGGCAUGGGGGAACGCUGAACCCGGAGACAGGGGACUGUGUUUACCGGGGCAAAAUAAUUAAACCCACCCAAGCCCUUAUUGACGCAAUGAGGGAUGCUCAAGAGGGGAAGAUCAAGUUCAACAGAGAGAACGACGCACUGACAAAAGCCCUCGGGAAUCCUGAACACGGAGGACGUGUACGAGGCAUGGGGCACAUUCCGUGGAAAAUAGGGUUCCCCCAGAAUGAUGACCCGUACGGUUACAGAAGCCGGAAGAGAAAGAUGGAUCGGGAAGCAGAUGUUGUGGCGCGGUUGGCAUCGGAAAUGGAUGUGAUGAAGAAAACCGUGAGUGUACUAGUAGCCGAACGAGAUGCAGCUCGGGCGCAGCAUGAAGAUCAUCCAGCGGAUCUCAGAAGCCAGCAGCGGAGAAGCAGUGUGGCUUCCACGGAGGCCCCACCGGCUGGUGCAGAUGCACCGACGAUCGAAAUUACUGCACCUGAGCCUCUGGUGGUCGAAAUUACUGCACCGGAGCCUCUGGUGGUCGAAAUUACUGCACCGGAGCCUCCUCGCUACCCCGUGGAUGAUAUAAAGGAGAUGAAAGAAUGUCAUCUGUAUUAUCCUAUCGGGAACAUGUCCGUGAAGGUAGCCAUCGGCAGUGCUUUACCAUGUUUACCUGGAGCACUCCACCACAACACCCCCAUUCAAGAUGGCUAUGCUCGUGUCACGGUGGAGGACAUAGUCCAAGGGUUUGAGGACCUGGAGAUUGACAUUGCUACACCUGAAGGGGAGAAAAGACUUGGAGAUGUCAAGCGCCAUUUCAUUCUAUGGCAAAAGAAGUUUAUCAAGUUUCCAGGCGAGGCGCCAAGGACAACAAGUCCACCCCCCUACGGUGGUGGCGGUUCACCUACACCUCCGUCACGUCAGCCGACGCCCCCCAGUCCACAACGUCCGGCGGGUGAUCAGACGCCGCCCCCCAGUCCUCGUCCGGCGGGUGAUCAGACGCCGCCCCCCAAUCCACCUCCGGCAAAGAAGCAGAAGCAGUCCUGGAUUAUUUACCCGGACCCUUAUGUACCUAAGACCACAAAGGUACCGGAGCCAUCAUUGAAGCCUCUCCCCACAAGGCCUUGGGAACGUAGUGCCGAGGAAACUGCCGCGGCCGCGGCUGCUGAUCAUGAGAAAUGGAAGGCGGACUGCAAGAAGAAAAGAGAGCCCGAGCCCAAGCCAGUAUUUUCUGAUGAGCAAAAGAAGUGGGCUAAGUCAUUUUUGAGCACACCGUCCCAAGCCGCGAAGAAUCUGCCUGACGACUAUGCACGUGAACUUCGUAGGCAGGCACUCAUGUUGAAGGAGAAGAAAGAGCGGGCGGAGAACCAGGAGAACAAAGCCUUGGAGGAGGCCGAGAAAACGGAAUUAGAAAGUAAAAAAAGCGGGAAACGAGUUGCCCAGCUCGGGGAACAAAGUAAACAAUCGAUUGCCCCGCUUAUAGUGAAAGCCGCCGGUCCGGAUGACCCCGAUAUCAUAGCAGCUGCGGCAGCACAUGGAUUGACUGUAACGAGUGCCAGAGAACAAGCGGCCAACUUAGGUAUUACUCUUCGUGAACUGUUAGGCCUUGAUGAGGCACCAGUGAAGGAGGUAGUAAUUACAUAUGUGAAAAAUGGGCCUCUCGUCGAGCCUGCGCAGGAACAGGAUCUACCUCCACAAAUGAAAGGUCUGCUGAAAUGGUACAAGGGUUACAUAAAAAAUAAAAACGCCAAAGAAUAUAUUUAUGCGGAAGUUAGAUAUGAGCAUCACUUCAAACAUUACUAUGUACAAAUUCAUCUGAGUGAAUUGUUCCAGCUUUUCAAUCUGCGCGAGCUCGACAAAUCUAUCAUCAGUUGCUACGUUCUGUAAGUGAUUUAUUUCUACCCCAUCUCGUUCAUAUUGCCUGCACUAUAUAUAUGUCCUAACUAUAUUGUUGUGUCCGCUAUUAUACAUGCAGAAUGAAGAUUAAGGAAUGCAGAGUAAGGAACAUCCAUAAUGUUGGGUUCAUUGACCCACACAUCGUUAAUGGAUAUGUGUUGGAGCAUCACCCCGCCGACAUGGAGGCAGACCUGUGGCAGUUUCUUACAAAGCAGGAACUCAAAAGUGAUAUUCUAUUUCCUUACCAUUUUGGGUGAGUGUUUCUGUCUUGAGCACAUUCUCUUUUGUUUACUCCAUGCAUGGUAUGUGGCCGGCUAAUCGAUGAGUUAUGCAUGACGUACUGUGCAUGUAUCGUGUCCGCAGGUUCCACUGGAUUCUGCUAGUAAUUAAAGUUGACACCUCAGAAUGUCUCGUCCACGACUCUCUGAAUAAGGAUCCAAAGCUUUGGGUCGACAUGAGAAGAAUGCUGCAGAAAUAAUUAUUUUCAUUCAUUUGCGCUCUAUAUCGAUCGGCCUAUUUCGUUCAUUUCCUAAUAUCAAGUAACUAAUAACUCUCUUGUUCAUUUAAUUUUCUUUGCCUCGUAGGGUUUGGAGACGGUUCGUAGAUACAAAGGUCGGUGAAUUCAAAAAAGAGCUAGAAUUCAAAAGGGCAAAGGCUAAGAAUGGUGAGGAUAUUCAGCCAGCGGGGACCAAUCUAUGUGCAUACUAUGUCUGUGAGAUGAUCCGGAGAUACACCUCUGAGCGGGUUCCGAGUGAUACCAAUGCUCAGAGGAAUAACCUCCGGAUGAUGCUUAGUCCAGAAGCUCGCUUCCGACCACUUCAAGAGGAACUUGCUGGAUGGUUCAGGAGGGAAGUCCUCCAUCCUAAAGGAGAACACCAUUACGAGGACGUAGAACUUUAUAUGCAUUAAAUUAUGUAUGGAAACUUGUUCAAAAUUGUAUAUGGUCAUCCGAUGAUAUUGAAUAUAUAUUGUAUAUUCCUCUUGAAUUCUUUUUGGUUCUAAUUUCAAAUUUGUUUGAAAUUGUACAUUCAUAUGCAUGUAUGUAGUACCGUAGAAUAUGUGAAACUCCUUCAAAAUUAAAAUAAAGCACAAAAGAAAUAAAACAAUACAUAUUAAACAGAAAACAGGUUUAAGGGGGGAGGGGGGGCUAAAACCCUAAACCUGCGGCGGCCUUUAGUCGCGGUUGGCCAGAAGAACCACGACUAAAGGUCCUCCGCCCCGACGGCCACCUGGCGCCCACGUGGACGGGCCUUUAGUCGCGGUUCUUAAGCAACCGCGACUAAAGGGUGGGGCCUUUAGUCGCGCCCGUUCGGUCGCGGUUGCGCAACCGCGACUAAUGGCAGUUGCGAACCGCGACCAAAGGCCCUUUUCCCACCAGUGGAGUGAAAAUAAGAAAAAAACAAAUGGGAAAAACCAAAUGUGGCCAUGGAAAAAAAAACUGGCGCUCUAACAAAUGACGAGAUAAGGGAGGCAGAAGAAAAACCAAAUGUGGAUCGAACACGCGACCUUCAGAUCUUCAGUCUGACGCUCUCCCAAGUGAACUAUCCCCGCUUGAUGUUAUUUCAGUUAGUUCCAAUUCUCUUUUUUUGAUUUCUGACUCACUUCAUAUUUGACUCUACACUAACGCUCUUCAAACUAACAUAAGGCCUCAGAAUCUCCACGUAGCAGCGAUCAGUAAAUGUAUUAUAUUACGCAUCUCGUACAACCGUAGCAUAGACUUCUCAACAUAUUUUUAUACGUACUUGAUGAUGUUCUUUCUUUACAUGGAAGAAGGAAAUCCAUGAUCUAUGGAACAAUCCAUGAUCUAUGGAUCACCAGCGGCAGUGCCGCGCAGCACGGAUGGAGAUGGAGGUCCAAGCUCUUAUUGGCGGCGCAGUGGUAGUACAGUGUGAGCACCAUCCCGCCACAGCUGCCGCAUGUCUUGCCACUGCAGCGCGGGUGCUCGUGGCAGAGCUGGAACUCCUUGCCCUUGAACAAUGGGUGCACCAGCAUGCCCUCUGCGAGGGCACAGUCAUUGUGGAGGUCGGAGUCACAGGGUUGGCACGUGUACAUGUCCCCGGCGCCUAGAUCCAUGCAGACGUUGCACUGGAACUCCGCGGCGCCGGUGGCCAUCAGCGCUCCCGGCGGGCGGGGUGGGACGUGGGAGAUUUCCGCAGGAUGUGGCAAGGUUGUCAAAAAACGGUAUUUUCCUUUUUCGGAGGCGGACGUUUUAAAUUGGAUGUAUAUACUACUGGAAUUAUGAUGUACACCGGGUGUCAUGUUCUUCGCCGAGUACCAAAACACGGACACUCGACAAAGAAAAUAACAACGAGAGUCACUUUUGGCAAACCUAGCUUUACGACAAACUGCCUUCUUUGCCGUCACUGCCUCGCGGCAAAGAGGCACCGCACGGCAAACCCUACAGACGUCGAGAGCUGCUCACGACAAAGAGGAGCCACGUGACAUGCCCGUCCGAAACACGACUCCGUCGGUUACUGUGUAUAUCACCGAGAGCGACACUCGGCAAACUAUAUGCCACAUCCUAUUUUCUUUUUUGAGUGUGUUCUUUCUAACUGACAUGUGAUCCCACUGGUCACAUUUAUCAAUAAAAGUUUCAAAUAAUUUGCUAAAUAUUUUUGAACAAAAAUGACGAUAUCUUUCCCGAGAGCUGCUCUCAGCAAUUCUCCUGACCAGUAAGAUAGCGUGGCCACAUGGCAGCUGACAGUUUACAUAUCUUUGUCGAGAGUUGGUCUCGGCAAUGCUCGCCAUCUUUUUCGAGAGCUGCUCUCGGAAAAGGUAUGGCACAACAGUAGUGUCUCCCAGACGACCAAUUUUCUGAGAGGAGCUCUCGGUAGUAUAUCGUUUUCCGAGUGUAGCUCUUGGAAAUCUUUCCCAUCCAUUCUACUGUUAAGCUAUUUCUUUUCUGAUCCCUGCAGAUGAAAACAACUACAGUGCAAUUUGGAGUAGUCCACACAUAUAUAGGCAUAAUUUGAUCUACUCCAUAUAUAUAUACAUACAUAUAUAUAUAUAUAAUUAGGGAUAGUCCACAUAUUAUCACACACAAAUCGAAUGUAGUAUCCUAGUAGAUGUCACACACAAGUCGUAAAUUUAUAUAUAUUGUCACUACUUGCAAAACAUGUGCACGUUACAAUAGAAGUACACUUAUUCAUAUAUAGAUCAGCUUGAGGAGGAGAGGCCAUCGGGUUAACAUUCCAGAGGAGGAGGGGCAUCACUUGCACUGCUUCGAGAUUGCAUAAGAACCUAUAAGAGUAGAGUCACGUGAGGAUGGUUCGUCCCUAUGUAAUGAAUCUUCUACUCUAGUUUAGAUAAUGUUCUACCUGUAGUUGAUUCUCAAGUAGCUUCAACCUAUUGUUAGUGUCUUCUCGUUCCUUUUCUUUGGACUCCUCAGCCUUCCGCCUUUGCUCCUCUUCAACAGCCUGCUGCUUCAUUAAAUUCUGUAACAUGGCAUUAGGCUCAUAUAGGUUGGACCGGUGCUAUUUCGAGGCAUGGACAUAAAUGAAAGGUUAGAAUGCUAACCUUGAGACUUGUGGUGCAUCUAUCUCGCAGCGCCGUGAAUGAUGUGAUCUUCAGUGACGUGGAGGUUUCAGGAGGUAUUGCUGUCUACACCUACAAAGAAGAGAAUGUUGACAGAUUUUGCCGUGUAACCGUGCCACUGUUCAACUCUGAAUAUAGUAUGUUGUCUGAACAAGUUAGCAGGAGCAUAGUCUGCACCAGAGGAUUUGGCAAAUAACUUCAGAAUUUUUAAUUGAACAUGGAUAUAUUAUUCUUGGAAGGAAAGUCUACACCAGUAGAUAUUGUGAUCUUCAAGGAUAACCCAACAUUUUAGGUGCUCUACAAGGAAUGGAUAUGAGAACGUUGCAGCGUCACAAUAGUCAAGAACCUCCACAGAAGGGUUCCAAUACUCAAGGUUUAUUUCUAGUGCUUCUUUUUUCCAGUGUAAAGAAGGGAGUAACCACAGUUUCCCCAAUUGUUGAAUCACAGAUGUAUCACCACAUAAACAGAGCAUAUGACAAGUUCAAAAUUCGAGUGCAAAACAUAUGUUCUUGUGCAACACAAAACGUCCGAAGUUUAAGCGCACAAACAUCGGCAACUCGAUUGCAACUACUUUCACUGAAUAAUGUAUCUCUCAUAACAGUAAAAAAACUAUUUCCUAGCCCAAAAAGAUGUUUUCUCGGAUCACAAUCGAUACCCCUACUUUAUGGCUGAAAACCCUUCUUUAUCACCCAAAACCCUAGCUUUAUUACGCCGCCCAAACUUACCAAACCCUGUUCUGACUUGAAUCCGACCGAUCAUCACAACAUUACAUCCCACCGGUGAUUUCCGCGGUGGUGCAGAAGAAUAGAGGCGGAGGGGAUUUCGAGAACUUGUCAUAAUCCGGAGGGAAGAUCCUGUGCGGGCGGACAAGAUGCACGGAGACGGCGGCUCCAUACCGCUGCUGAUCACCGAUGACGUCGCCAAGAGGAGGCGGACAUCAUCAAGGGAACGUCGACACGACGAGUUCUCCGAUAGAGGAGGCAAAGAGAUGUGUUAGAAGUGAGUGCUUUGAUUUAAUUCAAUUUUUUUUUAAUCUCCACCGAUGUGCUCGAGUUGGAGUGCAGUUUUCCCCCCGCAAAACGCAAUGACCGGCUUGGCCCCUCCGCCGCUAACGUGCCGCUAGAUGUCGCGUGCUGAUUGGCUCGACUAAUUUGCACAUCGGCAACAAGUUCCUGGGUGGCAGGGCGAGCAAUCGCAAGUUGUGUCACCGGCCAGAGUCCAGACAGUUUGUGGGUGUGCAGUGUUGUUACAUCUUUUUUAUGUUUUUUUAGAAUCAUCUUUUUUAUGUGAGAGGCUUUCACAAAUCUCUAAAUAAAUAAAGGACGCGUCUAGUGGGCGGCCGGCUGCCCACUAGCGCGAUCGAGCAGCUGGCCAUAAAAAGCAACUUCCUGUCCCCCACGUGGUACAGAAAAAGCAGGAUCGAGCUGCCACCAAACCGAGUGAUUCCAGCGCCCAAUCCCGAACAAAAAGCGACCCCCCCACGUGGCCAGCUGUCCACAAACUCGCUCGCCCCCACGUCCCAACCCCUCCCACGCCCGCUCGCCCAGGCAAUCCCACGCUGCUUUCUUGACCUGCAGGAAAGAAAGGGAUCCAAAGCUCCUUCUUCCUCCUCCUAUAUAGCCGCCAUGGGAGCAGAAAGAUAGAUGAAUCUGCUUCAACAAAUUGAUCUAAAAUGCAGGGUGAUCAGACCCAUACCAGGCAACAAACAUCAGGCAAGUACUUCCUCUCUAACCCUCUUCAGUUGUCCCCUUUCUUGUACUGCAUCUAUAAAACACCCUCCUCCAUGGAUCCAUCAGCAAAUCCAUGAAGAAUCUGCUUCAAAAAAAGAGUACAUUUGAAACAUCACCUUAUUGUGAACAUCACACCGGCCGCACCCCCCCCCCAUGAGUGCAUCUGCACACUAACUUAGGGUUCCCAGAUCGAAACUGAACGUGUUUUUCUAAACAUGCAUGCUAAGCAAGUUUACCCUGCCCCUUUUAUGUGUUCAACAAGUCAACUAAGACAUAUUUACUGGCCAACAAAUACAUGAUUCUAGCCAACUGAACAUGCAUGCUUGCCAACUAGAUAUAUGCAUCCUGGCCAACUGAAACGUCUAUUCUAGCCAGCUGAACACAUUGACUGUGCAACGGAACAUGCAUGCUGGCCAACUGAUAUAUGCAUCCUAGCCAAUUGAAAUGUCUAUUCUAGCUAGCUAAACACAUUGACUGUGCAACAGAACAUGCAUCCUGGCCAAGCUGAUAUAUGCAUCCUGGCCAACUGAAAUGUCUAUUCUAGCCAGCUAAAUACAUUGGUUGUGCAACAGAACAUGCAUUCUGGCCAAAAUGAUAUAUGGAUCCAUGAAAAUUCAAACAUCUAUUUUAGCCAACUAAACACAUUGGCUGUGCAACUGAACAUGCAUGCUGACCAACUGAUAUAUGCAUCCUAGGAAAAUUGAAACAUCUAUUCUAUCCAACUGAAUACAUGGACUGUGCAACUGAAUAUGCAUGCUGGCCAACUGAUAUAUGCAUCCUGGGAAAUUGAAACAUCUAUUCUAGCAAAAUUGAACACAUUGACUGUCAAACAAAACUUGCAUGCUGGCCAACUGAUAUAUGCAUCCUGGCCAACUCAAAGAUCUAUUCUAGCCAAAACCAAAAAACUGCAGUACGGCAACUUCUGCAGCAAUAUGUGCAACAGAUAAAUAAACAAGGUUAUUGAAGCCAUAAAACCACAUUAAAGUAGUCACACAUAUAUUCUGGUAGCACACCUAUUGCAAAGCUAUAGUGUAAAAAUAUGUUCAAAUAUACUGAAAGUAGAAACAGAAACGGCGACGAAAAACAUAUAUCUAUAGUCUGUCAUCAAAUUCUUCUUUCUUCUUUCACCUGGAUUUUGCAUCUGAAAAAGUAGCAUCAAAUUGUGUCCCUAUUAUGUGCAGCAAAAUUUGAAUAAGCUCCUUGCCAACGGAACCCUGCGGAUCAUUGCAAUAAAAGCAGAGGAAAAAGUCAGAAAACUCUAUGGCAAAAAGAAGUCAAGUUCUUGCCAACUAUUUACUACAAACUGUGCAACUAACAUAACAACUCUGUGCAAAAACAAAAAAUGCAUGCAUGUUAUAAUAAAAGAUUCUGCUACAGACAUGUUGCUUUUGGAACUAAGAUUGUCAUAAAAUGGUGUGCAACUGCCUAUUUACUAAGUUUUUUGGUUGUUUGAAACACUCUUUUCUAUGAUUAACAACUGAUGACAUCACUUUCUUCUUUUUUAUAUGUGCAGUGAGUGUGUGGCAGCAUCCAAAAAAAGGAAAAAAAUGCUUGUUUUCAAUGAGCUUCCUCAUGAUACGGAUCAGCAGCAACCCAGCAUACCACAAGGAAACUGGACAGAAAAUGUACGAUCUGUUUACUACACACAGGCUAGUCAUGGUGGAAACCCUAUGGGCCAUGACAAUGUGGUAGACCAACCAUCAACCCGUGGUGCCCCUGUAGUGGUGUCUUUGCAGUCAGAGAGCCAUACUCUAGAUGACAUGGGAACCGAGGCAAAUGUUCCUCAUCCAACCAGGACUGAGCUAGGAGCUGGGGCUGUUGACGGAGCUGUGCAAGAAGAAGAAGGAGAGGAUGAGGCUGGUUCUCAACGUAUGGAACCCUAUGUUGGCACGAGGUUUGACAGCCUUCAAAUUGCUAAGGAUCACUACAACAGCUACGCACUACGGAUGGAUUUCUCUAUCAAUAUGAACACAUCUAGACGGACACCCCGCACCAAUGAAUUGAUAAAACAACAGUUUUGCUGCAACAAGUUCAAGAAGCCCAAAGCUGAUGAUGGAGGAGCUGAGGCUCCUCCUGUUUUGGACCCUAUUCCAGAUCCAAAAUCUGUUGACAGUGAUGAGGAGAUGAAAGAAGAACCUCCAAUAUUUGCUGAAGAGGAGGCUGGUACUAGUAAGAAGAAGAAGAAGCGCAAACGUGAGACAAUAAAGCAGACUCAGUGCAAAGCAAAAAUGUUGGUGAAGCUGAUAGAUGGGCGAUGAGAGGUGACACACUUUGUUCGUGACCACAAUCAUCCGCUCGUGAACAAACCUUCAUUGUCCAAAUACUUGAGAUCCCACCAAGGCAUCUCACCUGAUGAAAAGGAGUUUCUGCGCAUCUUGUAUAACUGCAACUUGACUACAGGUGUGGUGUUUUUCUAUAUCCCUUAAAGAAUUAAGUUUUCCUCUAGGCAGUCUAGUGUGCAACUUUUAUGGUAGUACUGUGCAACUGAAAUGACUUAACUGUGCAACUGGUGUCCAACUGGUGUGCCACUGAAAUGACUUCACUUUUGGUGCUUGUUGUGCAACUAGAUUGUCUUUACUGUGCAACUAGACGAUGUCAUGUAUGCAAAAAGUGCAAAAGUGUUUUUAAAAAGAUGCAGCUAGGUGUCCAUUUCCUGCGAUUAUCUUUUGUGCCAACACAUUUCCUAUUACUGUGCAGCUGGAUGUGCGCAUUCGUGCAACUAAAAGAAGGAUAUACUAUUUUUUUGUAUUAUGCAGGACGUAUGAUGCAUGUAAUGGCAGAGUUUUAUGGAUCUAAGAUGAUGGUGCCAUUCGGACCAAAGGCAAUAACUAAUAUUUGUACAAGUUUCUGUAAAGAUGACACAAAGGAGGGUGAUCUGAUUGAGACAAUUGCGCACUUCAAGGAUAUUAAAAAACCGAUCCAGACUUCUUCUAUAAGGUGAAAUAUGAUGAAGAGGACAGAGUUGUCAACAUAUUUUGGGUGGAUGGCUUAGCUCGAAAAGCUUAUGCGGAGGCGUACCACGAUUGCAUAUCGUUUGACACCACCUACAUGACCAACAUGUACAAUAUUCCGUUUGCACCCUUCAUAGGAAUAAACUGACAUGGCCAAUCUUUCAUGUUGGGUUGCGCGUUUGUGAGGCAGGAGUUGGCAUCGAGCUUUGAUUGGGUCUUUGGAGCAUUCCUAGAGGCUAUGGAUGGCAAACCUCCUGACAACUUCAUAACCGAUCAGGAUGGUGCAAUGAGGCAGUCAAUACAGAGCAUCUUUCCAAACCACAGUGCACCGCUGUUGUCGAUGGCACAUCAUGAAAAAGGCUCAGGAAAAAGUUAGUUGGCUGCUGUGCCGGAAUCCAGGACUCUCUGAUGAUUUCAACAAGUGUGUUGACUUCAGCUUCACUAUAGACGAGUUUGAGCAGAAUUGGGCUGGGUUAAUGGUGAAGUACGAGGCUAUGACACACACACACACACACUUUGAGAAGUUGUACGAAUACAGGUCAACUUGGAUGUCGUGCUACUUCAAGCACAGGUUCUUCCCGUUCCUACAAUCUACAUAGUGUAAUGAGGGGUUCAACACCGUCCUGAAAAGAUAUGUGAACCCACACAACUCAAUGCUGAACUUCGUCAAGCAAUAUGAAAAAAAUCCAGAACCACAUCCUUGCCAAGGAAGGCUGCAAUGAUUAAAGGACAGAACACCUUGAGAUUGAGCUGUGGUCCAACUUCCCAAUAGAGAAGCAAGUUUACAAAACCUAUACUAGGGACCUUUACCGCAAGUUCAGAGAAGAGUUUGAGCUGAUUGGAUGUUAUAAUGCAUUCCAAGUUGGUGCUGAUAUAGAGCUCAGACCGAACCAGGAAUUUGUUGCCAAAUAUGGUUCUCGAAACUACUUGGUGUAGGCAAGGGUGGAGGAGGGCUCCUAUUUGUGUGAGUGCUGUAAAAUGGACAAAGACGACAUCCUCUAUUGCCACAUCCUCAAGGUGUUCACCCAUAUUGGAGUUGAUGUCAUACCGGAAAGGUACCUGCUAAGACAGUGGACACCUACUGCUAUACCUAGUGCGCCAGGGACUGGUUAUGAGCAACCGGAUGAAAUGCCUCCUCAGUCAAAGAAGCAGAUAAGGGAGAGGAACAUGAUAUACGAUUUUUGGAAACUAGCAAAGUUUGUGAGUGGUUCUGAUCCAGCACAAGCUAUUGUACACAAGCAUAUGCGUGCAACACGUACCGAGAUCGGCCACAUGAACAAGUCCAAGAAAAAGAAAAAACCGACUGCUGCCACGGGGCCAUCAGAUGAUGGCAACCCUCGAGGACCUCCUCCACCUCCACGCAGCAAUCAGGGUGCUCAUUAUCCAGCUAAUUAUCUGCCCCAACUCCUGAUCUAAAUAGGUGUGUAACUUCAGUUGCACACAUCAUUGUGCCUAGUUGCACACAUCAUGGUGGCCAGUUGCAUAGAAACAGGCUGCCUAGUUGCGCAUACUGUGUUAGUUCAAGCAUCGAGAUAACAUAACUAACUUGUUUUUCCUGUUCUGGAUAUAGAUGAUGUCAACCCUCAAGGACAUCCUCCACCUCCUGGCCCUAUAGGUAGCACUCAGGGGCCUCAUCGUCCAGGUAAUUACCUGCCCCAACUCCCAAUCAAACUAGGUCUGUAACUCCAGUUGCACACAUCAUGGUGCUCAGUUGCACAGAAAACAGGCUACCUAGUUGCGCACGUUGUGUUAGUUCGAGCAUCAAAGAUAACACAACUAACUUGUUUGUCCUGUUCUAUCUAUAGGUGAUGCCAACCCUCAAAGACCUCCUCCCCCGCCUGGCCCAACUAGCAGUGCCCUGCGUGCUACUCCCAAUGGACCUACAUGCAGGACUCAGGGGGCUCAUCACCCAGGUAAAAUACCUUCCCCAACUCCCAACAAAACUAGGAUGUGUGACUUCAGUUGCACAUAUCAUUAUGCCAGUGCAACGUCUUGAGCUUGCAUUGGUUUUCCUCGAAGAGGAGAGGGUGAUGCAUCAAUAGUAGCGUAAGUAUUUCCCUCAGUUUUUGAGAACCAAGAUAUCAAUCCAGUAGGAGGCUCCUCAAAAGUCACACGCACGUACACAAACAAACUGAGAACUCGCAACCAACGCGAUAAAGGGGUUGUCAAUCCCUUCACGGCCACUUGCGAAAGUGAGAUCUAAUAAAGAUGGUAAGCUAAGAUAAAUAUGUUUUUGGUAUUUUAUAAUAUGGAUGCAAAAAGUAAAGAUGCAAAUAAAAGUAGAUUGAAAGCAAAUAUGAUAAGAGAUAGUCCCGGGGGCCAUAGGUUUCACUAGAGGCUUCUCUCAAGAUAUCAUAAGUAUUACGGUGGGUGAACAAAUUACUGUCGAGCAAUUGAUAGAAAAGCGCAUAGUUAUGAGAUUAUCUAGGCAUGAUCAUGUAUAUAGGCAUCACGUCCAUAACAAGUAGACCGACUCCUGCCUGCAUCUACUAUUAUUACUCCACACAUCGACUGACUCCUGCCUGCAUCUAGAGUAUUAAGUUCAUAAGAACAGAGUAACACAUUAAGCAAGAUGACAUGAUGCAGAGAGAUAAACUCAUGCAAUAUGAUAUAAACCCCAUCUUGUUAUCCUUGAUGGCAACAAUACAAUACGUGCCUUGCAACUCUUUCUGUCACUGGGUAAGGACACCGCAAGAUUGAACCCAAAGCUAAGCACUUCUCCCAUGGCAAGAAAGACCAAUCUAGUAGGCCAAACCAAACUGAUAAUUCGAAGAGACUUGCAAAGAUAACUCAACCAUACAUAAAAGAAUUCAGAGAAGAUUCAAAUAUUAUUCAUAGAUAAACUUGAUCAUAAACCCACAAUUCAUCGGAUCUCGACAAACACACCGCAAAAAGAGUUUACAUCGAAUAGAUCUCCACAAGAGAGGGGGAGAACAUUGUAUUGAGAUCCAAAAAGAGAGAAGAAGCCAUCUAGCUAAUAACUAUGGACCCGUAGGUCUGUGGUAAACUACUCACAACUCAUCGGAGGGGCAAGGAUGUUGAUGUAGAGGCCCUCCGCGGUCGAUUCCCCCCCCGGCAGAGUGCCGACGAAGGCUCCAAGAUGGGAUCUCGCGGAUAUAGAAGGUUACGGUGGUGGAAAUUGUGUUUCAUGGUGCCCCUGGAUGUUUUCGGGGUACGUAGGUAUAUAUAGGAGGAAGAAGUACAUCGGUGGCCGCCCGAGGGGCCCACGAGACAGGGGGCGCACCCUAGAGGGGGGGGGGCUCCUAUCUCGUGGAGCCCUCAGCUGCUUCUUGACUUGCAUUCCAAGCUCUCCGGAUCACGUUCGUUCCAAAAAUCACGCUCCCGAAGGUUUCAUUCCGUUUGGACUCCGUUUGAUAUUCCUUUUCUUCGAAAUAUUGAAAUAGGCAGAAAAAACAGCAAUACGGGCCGGGCCUCCGGUUAGUAGGUUAGUCCCAAAAAUGAUAUAAAUGUGUAAAAUAAAGCCCAUAAACAUCCAAAAGAGGUAAUAUAAUAGCAUGGAACAAUCAAAAAUUAUAGAUACGUUGGAGACGUAUCAAGCAUCCCCAAGCUUAAUUCCUGCCCGUCCUCGAGUAGGUAAAUGUAAAUAAGAAAUUUUUGAUGUGGAAUGCUACCUAGCAUAAUUCUCAAUGUAAUUUUCUUUAUUGUGGCAUGAAUGUUCAGAUCCAAAUGAUUCAAAAUAAAAGCUUAUAAAACAUAAAAAUAAUAAUGCUUCAAAGCAUACUAACAAAAAAUCAUGUCCUAUCAAAAUAACAUAGCCAAAGAAAGCUUAUCCCUACAAAAUCAUAUAGUUAGGCCAUGCUUCAUUUUCAUUACACAAAAUACUCCCAUCAUGCACAACCUCGAUGACGAGCCGAGCAAUUGUUUCAUACUUUUUAACGCGCUUCAACUUUUUCAACUCUUACGCAAUACAUGAGCGUAAUCCAUGGACAUAACACUAUAGUGGUAUAUGGUGGUGGUUGUGAGGACAAAAAGAGGGAGAAGAUAAUCUCACAUCAACUAGGCGUACUAACGGGCUAUAUAGAGGUGCCCAUUAAUAGAUAUCAAUGUGAGUGAGUAGGGAUUGCCAUGCAACGAAUGCAGUAGAGCUAUAAAUAUAUGAAAGCUGAAAAAAGAAACUAAGUGGGUGUGCAUCCAACUUGCUUGCUCAUGAAGACCUAGGGCAUUUUGAGGAAGCCCAUUGUUGGAAUAUACAAGCCAAGUUCUAUAAUGAAAAAUUCCCACUAAGUAUACGAAAGUGACAACAUAGGAGACUCUCUAUCAUGAAGAUCAUGGUGCUACUUUGAAGCACAAGUGUGGAAAAAGAGAUAGUAGCAUUGUCCUUUCUCUCUUUUUAUCUCAUUUUAUUAUUUUUUCUUUUCUCUUUUUUUCUUUGGCCUUUUUUUUUCUUUUUGGCCUUUCUCAUUUUUUUUCUUUUUUUUAUUUCUCUUUUUUUUCUUUUUGUAAAGUCCGAAGUCUCAUCCCUACUUGUGCGGGAAUCAUAGCCUUCAUCAUCCUUACCUCACUAGGACAAUGCUCUAAUAAUUAAGAUCAUCACACUUCUAUGGAUUUACAACUCAAGAAUUACAACUCAAAGCUAGAACAAGAUCUGACUCUAUAUGAAUGCCUCCGGCGCUGUACCGGGAUAUGCAAUGAAUCAAGAGCGACAUGUAUGAAAAUUAUGAAGGUGGCCUUGCCACAAAUACGAUGUCAACUACAUGAUCAUGCAAAGAGCAAUAUGACAAUGAUGGAACGUGUCAUAAUAAAUGGAAUGGUGGAAAGUUGCAUGGCAAUAUAUCUCGGAAUGGCUAUGGAAAUGCCAUAAUAGGUAGGUAUGGUGGCUGUUUUGAGGAAGGUAAAUAAGGGGUUUAUGAUACCGACAAAAGUUGCGCGGUAAUAAUAAAGGCUAGCAACGUAAAAGGAUGAGUGUGCAUAUGUCCAUGGACUCACAUUAGUCAAAAGAGAACUCAUAUACUUAUUGAAAAAGCCUACUUAGCCCUCGAAGCAAAGUACUACUACGCAUGACCCAAGAGGGAUAGAUUGGUAGGAAAAGACCAUCGCUCGUCCCCGACUGCCACUCAUAAGGAAGACACUCAAAAGAGCACCUCAUCCAACAAAUUUGUCACACAACUUUUACCAUACGUGCAUGCUACGGGACUUGCCAACUUCGACAAAAGUAUUUCUCAAUUUCAUAAUUACCCACUAGCAUGACCCUAACAUUACUACCUUUAUAUCUCAAAACAACUAUCAAGCAUCAAGUUGAUCAUAGCAUCCAAUUCUUAUUCUAUGAUAGUUUUUAUUAUACCCAACUUGGAUGCUCAUCAUUCUAAGACCAACUUUGUAACCAUAGCAAAUACCAUGUUGUUCUAAAAAACUCUCAAAAAUAUAUAAGUGAAGCAUGAGAGACUAGAAAUUUCUUCAAAAUCAGGACACCACCAUGCUCUAAAAGAUAUAAGUGAAGCACUAGAGCAAAAACUAUCAAGCUCAAAAGAUAUAAGUGAAGCACAUAGAGUAUUCUAGCAAAUUCUAAUCAAAUAAGCUUCUCCCAAAAGGUGUGUACAGCAAGGAUGAUUGUGGUAAACUAAAAAGCAAAGACUAAUAUAAUACACGAUGCUCCAAGCAAAACACAUAUCAUGUGGCGAAUAAAAAUAUAGCUCCAAGUAAAGUUACCAAUGAACGAAGACGAAAGAGGGGAUGCCUUCCUGGGGCAUCCCCAAGCUUAGGAUUUUGGCUAUUCUUGAAUAUCUUGGGGUGCCUUGGGCAUACCCAAGCUUAGGCUCUUGCCACUCCUUAUUCCAUAGUCCAUAAAAACUUUACCCAAAACUUGAAAACUUCACAACACAAAACUCAACAGGAAAUCUUAUAAACUCCGUUAGUGAAAGAAAACAAAACCACUACAUAAGGUACUGCAAUGAACUCAUUAUUUAUUUAUUUUGGUGUUAAACCUACUGUAUUCGAACUUCCUUAUGGUUUAUAAACUAAUUUACUAACCAUAGAUGCAUUGAAAUAAGCAAACAACACACGAAAAACAGAAUCUGUCAAAAACAGAACAGUCUGUAGCAAUCUGUAACUAACGCAAAUUGCUGGAACUCUAAAAAUCCUACCAAAAUAGGAAGUCCUGGACAAUUUGUUUAUUGAAAAGCAGAAAAAAGAAUCAACGCAAAAUCACGUUCCUGUGAUUUAACAAAAUUAUAUUCGUGCCCGCAAAGUUUCUGUUUUUCAGCAGAAUCAAAUCAACUAUCAUCGUAGGUUAUCCUAUAGGUUCUACUUGGCACAAACACUAAUUAAAAGAUAAAACACAUCUAAACAGAAGGUAGAUGCAAGAUUUAUUACUAAACAGGAGCAAAAACAAAGAACAUAAAGAAAAUUGGGUUGCCUCCCAACUAGCGCUAUCGUUUAACGCCCCUAGCUAGGCAUAAAAACAAAGAUAGAUCUAAGUAGUGCCAUAUUUGGCACUAGAUUCGUAAGUAGCACGCAUGAUAGAUUCAUAAGGUAAUUUGACUUUAUUUCUUGGAAAGUGCUCCAUGCCUUUCUUUAAUGGAAAUUGGAAUCUAAUAUUCCCUUCCUUCAUAUCAAUAAUCGCACCAAUCGUUCUAAGAAAAGGUCUACCAAGAAUAAUAGGGCAAGAAAGAUUGCAAUCUAUAUCAAGAACGAUAAAAUCUACGGACACCAAAUUUCUAUUUGCAACAAUAAGAACAUCAUUGAUCCUUCCCAUAGGCCUUUUAAUGGUGGAAUCCGCAAGGUGCAGAUUUAAAGAGCAAUAAUCAAGAUCAUGGAAACCUAGAAUAUCACAUAAAGUUUCGGAAUCGUGGAAACACUAGCACCCAAAUCACACAAAGCAAAACACUCACAAUCUUUAAUUCUAAUCUUUAUAGUAGGUUCCCACUCAUCAUUAAGUUUUCUAGAUAUAGAAACUUCCAAAAUUAAGUUUUUCAUCAUAAGAUUGCAUCAAGGCAUCAACGAUAUGUUUGGUAAAAGUUUUAUUUUGACUAUAAGCAUGAGGAGAAUUAACAAUGGAUUGCAACAAGAAAAUACAACCUUUUAAAGAGCAAUUAUAAUAAUCAAAUUCCUUGAAAUCCGAGAUAGUAGAUUCAAUAUUAUUAGAAGUUGAGGAUUCUCCAAUCUCACUUUUACCAAAUUUAGCAAUAAGAUCUAAAGAUUCCGAAUUCUUGGGACGCCUUCUAGGCAAAGUUGAUUCAUCAUCAGUCCCAUUAUCAUCAAAAUUCAUAUUGCAAAAUAUAGAUCUAAUAGGAGACACAUCAAUAACUUUAAGAUCCUCAUCAUUAUUUUCACCUAACUUUUCUGGUUCAGCGGCCAUCUUAUUGACUAAGGUGGCUUGCUUAUCAGAAAUUUUGGCUAUAGUAUUUUCAAGACGGGUAAUUUGAGCAUUAACACCAUAAAAUUCUUCAUUCAUAUCAUCAAGCUCUUUGUUCCUAAACCCCAAAAAACCUUUUUGUUCCUUAAGCUCUUUUCUAAAGAAGUUAUUAUGCUAAAAUUGCAAAUUCAUAAAGCUUCUAAUAUUUGAUUCAAUCUCUUCCAUCCUUCUGAGAAGGUGGUCAUGACCCUUAGGCGAAGCCAUAAGGACAAACAGGCACACAAGCAAACAGAGAAGGGCAAGCGAAAGAGAGGAGGAGAUUGCGAAAGAGAGGGCGAAUAAAACGGCAAGGGUGAAGUGGGGGAGAGGAAAACAAGAGGCAAAUGGUAAAUAAUGUAAAUGCGAGGGAGAUGGGUUUGUGAUGGGUACUUGGUAUGUCUUGACUUGAGCGAAGACCUCCCCGGCAACGGCGCCAGAAAUCCUUCUUGCUACGUCUUGAGCUUGCGCUGGUUUUCCUCGAAGAGGAGAGGGUGAUACAUCAAUAGUAGCGUAAGUAUUUCCCUCAGUUUUUGAGAAACAAGGUAUCAAUCCAGUAGCUGGCUCCUCAAAAGUCCCACGCACCUACACAAACAAACUGAGAACUCGCAACCAACGCGAUAAAGGGGUUGUCAAUCCCUUCACGGCCACUUGCGAAAGUGAGAUCUAAUAAAGAUGGUAAGAUAAGAUAAAUAUAUUUUUGGUAUUUUAUAAUAUGGAUGCAAAAAGUAAAGAUGCAAAUAAACAUAGAAUGAAAGCAAAUAUGAUAAGAGAUAGACCCGGGGGCCAUUGGUUUCACUAGAGGCUUCUCUCAAGAUAGCAUAAGUAUUACCGUGGGUGAACAAAUUACUGUCGAGCAAUUGAUAGAAAAGUGCAUAGUUAUGAGAUUAUCUAGGCAUGAUCAUGUAUAUAGGCAUCACGUCCAUAACAAGUAGACCGACUCCUGCCUGCAUCUACUACUAUUACUCCACACAUCGACCGACUCCUGCCUGCAUCUAGAGUAUUAAGUUCAUAAGAUCAGAGUAACGCAUUAAGCAAGAUGACAUGAUGUAGAGGGAUAAACUCAUGCACUAUGAUAUAAACCCCAUCUUAUUAUCCUCGAUGGCAACAAUACAAUACGUGCCUUGCAACCCUUUCUGUCACUGGGUAAGGACACCGCAAGAUUGAACCCAAAGCUAAGCACUUCUCCCAUGGCAAGAAAGACCAAUCUAGUAGGCCAAACCAAACUGAUAAUUCGAAGAGACUUGCAAAGAUAACUCAACCAUACAUAAAAGAAUUCAGAGAAGAUUCAAAUAUUAUUCAUAGAUAAACUUGAUCAUAAACCCACAAUUCAUCAGAUCUCAACAAACACACCGCAAAAAGAGUUUACAUCGAAUAGAUCUCCACAAGAGAGGGGGAGAACAUUGUAUUGAAAUCCAAAAAGAGAGAAGAAGCCAUCUAGCUAAUAACUAUGGACCCGUAGGUCUGUGGUAAACUACUCACAACUCAUCGGAGGGGCAAGGAUGUUGAUGUACAGGCCCUCCAUGGUCGAUUCCCCCUCCAACAGAGUGCCCGGCGAAGGCUCCAAGAUGGGAUCUCGCGGAUACAGAAGAUUACGGUGGUGGAAAUUGUGUUUCGUGGCGCCCCUGGAUGUUUUCGGGGUACAUAGGUAUAUAUAGGAGGAAGAAGUACGUUGGUGGCCGCCCGAGGGGCCUACGAGACAGGGGGCAUGCCCUACAGGGGGGCGCAGCCUCCUAUCUCGUGGAGCCCUCGACUGCUUCUUGACUUGCACUCCAAUCUCUCCGGAUCACGUUCGUUCCAAAAAUCACGCUCCCGAAGGUUUCAUUCCGUUUGAACUCCGUUUGAUAUUCCUUCUCUUCGAAAUACUGAAAUAUGCAAAAAAAACAGCAAUACAGGCUGGGCCUCCGGUUAGUAGGUUAGUCUCAAAAAUGAUAUAAAUGUGUAAAAUAAAGCCCAUAAACAUCCAAAAGAGGUAAUAUAAUAGCAUGGAACAAUCAAAAAUUAUAUAUACGUUGGAGACGUAUCACCCAGUUGCACAGAACAUGCUGCCUAGUUGCGUGCGCUGUGUUAGUUUGAGGAUCAAGCUAAAAAUCUAACUUGUUUUUCCUGUUCUACCCAUAGGCAAUUACAAUCCAAGUACCAUGACGGGACGUGCUACUCCAAGUGUUUUUUCAACUUAACCUGCACACAUCAACCAGUUAGGUGCACAGCAUGGGCUGCGUGGUUGCAGAGAACAUUAGUGCUGGUUGCACAACAAAAAAAGUACUAAAUUUUUUAUAUGAUUAUUACACAGGUGAUCGUGAUGGUCCUACUGCCCCGUUGGAGGAUGCAUCCCCUGCACAAGCUUCUGAUGACUUUGUGCCCAGGGAUCCUCCAAGGUCUACUACAAAGGGUAGGGCAAAAAGUUGACGGUACAAAUCGGCGCUGGAGCUACACCCAAAGAAGAAAAACAAAUGCAACCAAUGCCAAUCUACAGAGCACACUGCUGGUGUGUGUGUCCACUCAGGCUACUGUGAUUCUGUUUCACCAUUUGUAACUUUGAGACAAAAAAGGAAAAGAAUGAUGUUUUUUAGCAAUGCUGGGACCAAGUAGACACAUUCAGCAUCUAUGAUUUCUCUUUAUCUAAUUUAUGCUCCUUGAAUUAUUUCAUGCACUGUGUAAAAAAUGUUGCUAUUUGUACCUUUGUUGGCAACUGGUUAAAUAUUUAGUUGUUGAACAAUUGUAUGUCAAGUGCUCCUAAUAUAUCAACAAAAGUGAUGAUAUUGACUUGCAAACGGAAUUGCUACUAGUGUGCAACUACAAAAUCUGCUUAAAAAUUGUGCAAACCAGCAACUACCUCCAUGGAGCAGAGAAAGAAAAAGAGUACUGACCUAGUCCUUGUCGUAUCUCAGCAACUUCCUCCAUGGGGCGGUGUUGUGCACGCUGGUGACCCAGUCAUAUGCCAUCUUCUUCCUGAUGUUGAGUACUUCCUUGGGUUCGUAGUUGGGCAGUUGGCUAUCGUUCCACUCGGUGGCGUUAAGCAGUGCGAACAACCCACACUCAUUACUGCGAUGGGCAAGAAAAGAAAAUUUGUCACAUAAAAUUAAAACCAAAUAAAGAUAAUGCACUCUGUGCAACUGCUUAUGUUCUACUGUGCAACUGUUUAUGUUCUACUGUGCAACUACUUAUGUUCUACUGUGCAACUUCUUAUGUGCCACUAUGCAACUGCUUAUGUGCCACUCUGCAACUGGCUAGAUAAUCCAUUAGAAACUCAUAAAAAUGAUAAACAGAUUGCAGACUAGUACUGUGUCUUAAAAAACUAAAGAUUGCACAUGUAGAAAAAUUUAAAAACUACAAAAUGAUGGUAAGAAAUUGAGAAGAGAGCCAUGCUUAUUGUCUUACUUGCCGAGCUGCUUCGGUACGUCAAUGUAAAUAAUCUGAAAGUGCUCGAUGCUGAAAUUUGGGUAAUGCUUCCUCCAUAGCUGGCGUACUGCCCCCGCGAUGGUAGAGGCGGUGGUCAUCAGCUCAAUGUCAUCUAGCGUCCUGCUUGAAUCAAGAACUUCGAAGCGUCCGUCCCUCAAGUUGACAUUGAAGACCCAAUAAUGCCUCCCUCCCUCCUUAUCGGUUACAUCAGUGCACUCGAGCACUGGCAGCAUGACCUGCAAGUGUGAACGAUUUCAGACAUAGAUACAGGCUGUAGCUAAGAAAAAACAGUAAAAGACUUGGUCAAGUUAAAACAUGUUGCAACAAGUAUGUGCCAACUAACAGAUGUGCCAUGUGCAACUGAACAUGCUGUGGGUGUCAACAAAAAGAGAUGGAUCAUGUGGGCACAACACUCACCAAGUCCUUCUUGUCGAGACGGUUCUUGUAAUCAAACUUCUUGUUUAUCUCUUUCACGUUGUGGAUACCUUGCUGUAAAUUCAUCUGCAGAGAUUAUAAAGCAUGGCUCAAACUCCUUAGUAGAUGAAAGGCCUCCCUCAAUUGGUCAACAAAAAAGUGCUACAGAACAAAGAUGAGGGUAAGGAAGGUUUUGGAAAAACUUACCGAAAAACUCAGUGGCAUAACAACCUUCUUUGACCCUUCUAGUAAGCUCUCCAUGAUGUGUAAGAUUCCAGUCUCAAUAACAAUUUUUGACAGCCAUUGAACCGGCUUCAUCGAAUCAACUAACUCCUUUAAAGAAAUGUAGAAAUCACCAUACCUGAUUAUCUCAGGGCUGAAUUUUUUUUGAAAGCAAUAAAAAGACAAGUUAGCUCGAAGGGUCAUAGUAGCAAAAAAAAUGUGCAUGAAAUUGAAAAACAGAACAGUGUGCAACUAAAAGCCCUGUUCUGUGCAACAUGCUAUGCUUUCUGUGCAACUAAGUGGCUGGUCUUGUGCAACUGAAAAAGAUAUGUAUGUAGGCUGUGGGGAGUUAGUUUACCUGGUAGCUUCAUCAUUUGCUCCUUCAUGAUGCCUGGCCCAACACAAGAGGGCAGCGUAAAGCUUGUUCACUGCCUCAUUGGAGCUGAAAGACUUCUUCUUGUUGUAGUCAAUGAAUGGAGACCUUUGAGAUGCCGCGAGCCUUAUUACCGUCCUCUGUCUUCAUGCAAUAGGUGGUCCUGAAGAACAGCUCGUGUCAGCUUCUGGUUCUGCGCAUAUCGGGGUGUGGCAAUUCUCUGGUGAUCCAACAUCUAGCUCUUGAGCUAUUGCCUUGCCAGCAUCAGCAGCAGCGCAUCCUUCAUUCACAGCUGCUGGGUCCAACUCACACUCAUCAAUACUAAUCACACCGGCUUCCGCUGUUUCUGCUGCUGGAGCAGGUGCUGGAGCAUGACCAUCUAUGCCGAGGUCAAAAGAUGGUGCAUCACAGAACCCGUCACCAUGAUAAGACUUUAAUCUUCGUAUGGGUUCAAGGACUAGGGCAUCUCCUUGCGGCACAAACAUGGGUGCAUCAUUCACUGACUUGGUUCGUGAUAGUGUUGUAGUUGGCAGCCUUGGAGGCUUGCACCUACUUAUAAUCUUGAACACCUCCUCUUGUGUUAAUGGUUGCUGAAAGUCAGCUCUUGGUGAUGCAGGCUUGCUUGGCUGUUGUGUGCUGGCUCUUGGGGACGGCAAUUUGGUAGUAGGAUCACCUCCUUUUGUGUUUGGCAUUGAAGCAUCUCUAUGAGUAGGCACUUUGGGGCUUGCAGUUGCAGUGGUGCCUUCCUGAGCAGAUGUGGUGGUUUUGACUAUGACCACGCUGCUAACUGACACAUCAGUUGGCACACUGGUAUCUGUAGUUGGCAUCUUUCCAGUCUGAGUUGGCAGCAACCUAGCAGAACUUGGCACCCCUGCAUCAAUGGUUGCAGCUCGCAGUUCUCUCUCGUCUCUGAACCCCAAAUCUUUUGUGGCCUGUUCCCCCUUUGUGCCGCUGGCAAACUUGACAAUCUUUUGUUGCUUAGGUGGUUUUGGUGGGACUGUUGAAAGGGGAGUCUUCCCCUUGAUCUGUUGAACUCCUGUUAUGGUGGUUGGCUCUCUGCUCACUACAGUUGGCAUAUCAGUUUGAAGCACAGCUUUCUUGACCAUAUUUACUUCAGCAUCUGCACUCACCAUCUUCUCCUUGGUUUGAGGCAAAUGUAGAUUCUUCUUCAUUGAAACUUCUUUACGCUUCUGGACCACGUGAGGGUUUGCCAUGGAUGCUACCUUGCUCUUGCCGGAGCUUAGGUCUCGAAGCUGCUUCAAAUAUUCCUUGUAUUUUUCCUUUGAAUGAACCCAGUCAAGACCCUUUCCUGCUUUCUCCAUGUCAAUUUGAUUCUUUUCAGCAACACUUGAUAAGAACGGGCUCUUGUCAAUGGCAACGUUGAUCUUCUCACACAUAUCUUGGUCGCUAAAAUAUGGCACAGGAAAGGUGGUUGGCAAAGCUGGCUUCAAGUUGCAGAGCUUGAACAUAUCAAUGCUGCACUGGGACUCUGCUUCGUCAUUUUUCUUUGACUUCGGCAAAUCCUUGUCUUCCAGCAAGUUUUGUCAAUUAGCAUCUGUAGUGUGCUCCUGCUACUCAGUGAAUUGCUGCUGCUGGCAGGAGUGGCAGAAGUGCUAGUCCUACUGGAUGUGUUGCCGCCUGUACGACCAGAACCAGGGGCAUUGUCAUCAUCAUCAUCAUCGCUGCUGUCGCUGCCUCCACUGGAUCCCCCUUUAUCAUCACCAUAACCCACCUCGUCUUCUUCUUCAUCAUCUUCUUCCCUCUCACUGCCAUCAACUGCUGCACCUUUGUCCCCGUCCACCUCUUUGGCCUCACCUUCUUCUUCCUCCUCCUCUGCCUCACUAUCUUCUUCCUUGUCCUCCUCCUCUCCUUUGUCCUCUUCUUGUUUGUCCUCCUCCUCCUCCUCCUCCUCCUCUUCCUCCUCCUUCUCCUCCUCUUCCUCCUCCUCUUCCUCCUCCUCCUCUGCAUCUUCUUCAUUGUCAUCCUCAUCCUUGUCCUCAUCCUCUGAUUCAUCCGCAUUUGUGUCGUCGUCAUUGUCAACAUCUAUCGCUGCUUCCAUUUCCUCAUCUUCUUCUGACUCAUCCUCAACAAACUCUUCUUCUUGUUGUAUAAUUGACCCCCGUCUCUUUCUUUUUGGAGCACGGCGUGACGCCCCGGUUUGCAUUGAUGGCUGCUGUACGUAAGGAUCAAUAUCCGGUUCCUCAUCAUCAAUCUUGGCAACUGCUUCAAUGAAGGUGCCAACCUGUUCAGUUACAGCCUUGCACAGGUCAUUGACCACUUUCGCAAUCUUUGCCUUUUUCUGCAUCAACACAAAAAAAAGAUUCAAUAUUGAUUCAGUUAGAAAAAAUUAAAAAGUAAAAUGUUUGUAACUGACCAUGAUGUGAUAAGCAAAAACCGACUAAUACACACUUUUUGGCCAACUAAAAACAUGAUUCUAGCCAACUACACAUGCACUGUGGCACAAACUAAAAACAUGCAUUCUACCCAGUUGAUGUCAAUGGUUGUAAACGAACACUUUGACUGUCAAAAAGAACAUGUGCAACUAUAGAAGCUUAUAUGUGCAACUGAACAUACAUCACAACCAACUGAAUCCUUUAUUCUCGCAACUACAAAAGUUAUACAUGUCCAACUGAACAUACAUCCCAGCCAAAAGAAAAUGUUGGUAAGUGGUACAAAUUUAUGUAUGCAAAACACUAACCUGCGGAUUGUAGGUUAUUGGUAACUUGGAUGCCACGAAUGCUUCAGCUUGCAAAAUUCCACCAAACAGUGGUGUCUGCUCCGUGCCUCUAUACUCCUCUUUAAGCUGAUGUAAAAAAACAGAAAAAGAAAAGAACAAGGUUAUCAAAACAAAUUUUUGUGUUAAACAAAACCAAACAUUAUAACCUGUGCAACUACAACAAGAUACUAUGGUAGACAAUUCGACUAUACAUAUAUGCAACUGAACAAAGAUACAAAAACUGUGCAACCCACAUGGCACCUAAAUUUUUUUUCUACCAACUGAUGCCACACAUCUAUGCAACAAGAUUAGUAAAACUGUGCAACUUAAAAAAGAUGGUGUGCCAAUUUAAAAUGAACAUGUGUGCAGAUGCCAAACUUAAAGCUACAAGCUGUGCAACUACAUGAAUUGUUGUGCCAACUGAUGACAGUUUUUGUGCAAUUUCCAAAAAAGUGACUAGACAUCAAAAGAACAUAAAAAAAGAGACUGUUGGAAAAAAACAAAGAGAACUCACUUGUAAUUUGCCGAACACACCAGGAGAGACGGUAUCAUUCUUCAUCACCUUGGCAAUUAGAGUACCAUCCCAUGCAUUCGGUCGCAUCGCGCAGUUGCUUACUGGGAUGUCAUGGACAAGCGCAUCAAGGUAUAGUAUCUUCACCAGACCCAACAAAAGAAAAGCCAAGUUCAGUUAUUAUUAUGAGUAUUUCAGCAAACUAUAACUGCACAAAAAGAAAAAGAACAGAUGGAAGUGGUCGUUUUCACUAACCAUCAAGUGAUACAAGCAGCAGCAAACAGUUUGCUUCUCCUGGUCCAUGUUCCGGAAAGCUUCGUUAAUGUGUUCUGCUACAAAAAGGCAGAUGUUUGUGUUCUUGAGGUUUUCAUGAUCAAGGCCGUGGUUGGUGCUAAGAAAGUGUUGAAGGCAACUACAAGCCAGGCCAUAAAGAAUGUGUCAUCCGUUCUUCCCCCCAUAUCCUUAAUCAUCGUGGUCCAUGUACUGAUCUGGGGAUGAGAAGUUCCAGUUAUGUUGAAGGUCUCUCUGAAUCUCCUAGUUGUUUCCUUGUCAACUUUGUAACAGACUUUUAGACCCCUGUUAGGAAGAUCAAAUACCCUUUGAACACUGUCAGCAUCGACACGGAUCCUUCCCCUUCCUAGGAAAACCAUUUCAGAGGUCUGUGGCUGGUAGGACUGCACCAGGAACUUAGUGAGGUCUGCUGGAAGUGUGUCUGACAAGUUCAAUAGCCCCCCGAACAAACUCUAAACUAGCUCUGACUUCUGUGGUGGGGUUAGAGAGGCGUUGAAAUUUGCAAACCGCGCUGGUGAUGCCCUUAUCCUGCCUGCUUGUGAUGGUCGCUCCACAUCUUCCCCUGCAGCCACCUCAACUCCUUCACCGCUGGCCUGUUAAUGAGAAUAUAAAAACAUUAAGGAAACAUUAAAAACAAGAGAAAAAAUAAGAAUGAAAAAAAAAUCUAACAAUCAUCAUUUGGAUCAGUAUUGGAAAAAGCUAUAUAUUCAUAAAAUGGAUCAUGCCAACUAAUAUGGUGUAUUUGUGCAACUAAUAAAGACCAUGAGGACAACUAAAGACUGCCAGUGUGCAACCUUCAAAAAAAACUAAGAAAAUAUACGAUACCUGGCAACUACAAAAAGUUCUAACGGAUGUGCAACAAUAAGAAAUGAUAUUGCAACAAGAUAACAACAACUAAAAAAAGGUUUGCAAGGAACUGUUCAAUAGCUCAUAAACACACAAAAAAACCACAUACCUCAGCAUCCGUUGCGGAAGAUGCGACAGGUCCUCCAGCAACUGUUGCCUGCACAAAAAAAUGACCAGUGAUGUCAACUAUAAAGAAGCCAACUUGUCAACUACAAGAUGCCAACUAAUGCCAACUAAUGUCAACUGUAUUUAGAUCAAGAUGGCUAGAGAUGUCAACUACAAGGUUGUUAUUGACAAACUAAAAACAAAAAUGGUGGUGAGACCUGCUGCAUAAUUUCAUCAGCGUCUAAAAAGCGAGAAACACUUAUAUUCGAGAAUUUACUUGCCCUAGAAGAUGACUCAACUCCCUUUCCAACUGUUGCACGUCUAGUCCGCUUUACAACACGGAACUGAUCAGCAUCCUAAGAAAAAAUAAAAAACCAAAAAAUGGGCUUGUGUCAUCAGCAUGCCACUUACCUCAACAUCCUCUCCUUGCUCAACACUCCGCGCAAGUCGUGCCUGGCGAUUAGGAGGACGCUUCGACCUCCAGCGAAGCGACUGACUUCCAGAACGCUGAUUAAGCAACCCAAAAAGAAAACAUGAAAAAAGGACAUUAGCAUACAUGCAUAAGUUGAAAACAACUCAAAAACACAGAAAAAGUGAAAAAAAAAGACAUCUUCUUCAUUGCCAUCCGCUUCUCCUCCUAUUAUAACCAUUUUUGCCCUGCAGGAGGAAAUAUAACAAAAGAAAACAUAGUUAGAAGAUGCGGAAACAAACUAGGGAAAUCAUAGAAGGUUGCUUUGAUUUGCAGACAUCUACACAUAAGCAGGACACAAAAAGCAAAAAACCAAAAAACAUGUGGACAACCAACUACUACAAUGAUGUAGCCAACUGGGCAGUAAACCUUGUGCAAACUAGACAACAUAUAAACCAACUAACUAUUUUCUGCCUAGGUCUUACUUGCCAACUGUGACAAGUAAUAACUAGGCAGAAAAUAGUUAACUAAAGGCAACAAGCUCAGUAAGAUAACUUGUGCAAACUGGAACAAGCAAAAAAUGCAAAGCAAAAAAUCCAGCAAAACAAUUGGGCAUACUAUAUUGAAAAAUUAGCAACCAUUCAGUGCUAAUUUGCAAAAAUAAUUGUCCCUAGUUGCACAUGAGGGGAACGCAUGAAAACAACCACAUCCACAACAAAGACUUGCACAUUGAGAAAAAUUAAAUUGGAAAAUUGGCAAGUAUUGGUACUAAUUUGCACAAUCAAGGGGCCCCUAGUUGCACAAAGCAGGAGAAAGCACAUGAACCACCACAGCCACCAUAAUGCUGGUGGAUAGGGUAGACUAUAUUGGAAAACUGGCAAGCAUUGAUGCUAAAUUGCACAGACAAGAGUCCCUAGUUGCACACAGCAGAGGGGGGAAAACAGCAAAGCCAACUAAGUAGAGCAACUAGCACAAAGUGUAUAACAUAUGAACAGUCAACUAGUAAAAGUGAUGCAGCCAACUGAGCAGGCAACUUGUGCAAUUGAAUACCGUAUAGACAACCAACUAGUACAAACAGUGAGCCAACUGACCAAAACAACUGCUGCAACUGCAGAGCAUAUGGACAGCCAGGUACUAUAUGGACGCAGCCAACUGAGCAGAAUUUUGUGCAACUAACCACUUGAAUUACUGAAUCAUGAACUUGCAGGAUCAGGGAAAAUCAGCCAAUGCAUUGCACAUUACAUUGCGCGCAUCUAAUACAACUUGCAGGAUGACUAAGAAUCAUGAACAGAUCUCAAACCUCUGCAAAAUUGAACAGAACAUGAACUAAACAGCCAAAUCGCCCUAAAAUCGCAACGGGCGCCAUGGACAUGCAUCCCUUCUACCUAACGACUACCACGUACCCUGGCCAACUACACGUUGACCCUGGCUAGCCACCCCCGUGCCGUCAAGGGAGUACUAAUUUGCACAAGUGAUGAUAUCUAUUUGCACACGGCAGAAUAAAAAAACACGUGGACCACCACAUCCACCACAAGGCUGGCAGAUUGGGUACACUAUAUUGCAAAAAAUGGCAAGCCUUGGUGCUAAAUUGCAAACAAGGGUUCCUAGUUGCACACAGCAGCGGGAAAACACACGAACCACCAGAUCAAUCACAAAGGAUGGCAGCUUGGCUAGUUAAUGUUGGGAAAUUGGCAAGCAUAGAUACUGAUUUGCACAAAAAAAUGGUCCCUAAUUGCACACAGCAGGGAAAAACACAUGACCCAGGAGAACCACCACAAGGCUGACACAUGGCUAUAUUGUCUCAAAAAUUGUCUACUGCUGCUCCUAUUUUGCACGCAAGGGGCAACACAGUUGCACACCGCGGGGGGAAAACACUCAUCAAAAACACCAGAUCCACCGCGAGGCUACAAUCCACAAACGAACCUCUAUGGCCGCUAACCAAUCAUCCUCCCUGAACCACUCAUCCCGUACGUAUAUACACGAACUCUCCCCCUAUUGCAAUGCAAAAACGACGGGAUGAGCACGACCCUAGCCCAUCCCUGCCAAUCCGGCGGUUUCCCAAACGAAGUAGUCCGCGGGGGUGACCUCAACCUCGCCGGAAAAUGAGUUCGACCUUCCUACCCCCGACCGUGACCUCGAGUUCGACCUUUACCUCGACCUCACCGAAAAAUGUGGGACCUCACCGGAAAAAAGGAGGGGAUGGGGACGAGUACCGGGGAACGCAUGGUAGGAGCAGUACCUGUGCCGCCGCGGACAACGACCCUCGCGGUGCGCCCCGCCGUUGACCACAACCAAUGGCGGAUUUGGAGCCGCCUCCGAGCACCAACCAGCGGCGAGAGCAGGGGGAAAGAGGAGGAAUGGGCGGCGACAGGUGCGGGGUGGACGGGGUAAUGGCACGAAAUUCGAAACCGCCACCCACUACGCACGACGGCUAUCACGCUGGGGAACUGCCUAAUCCUCUAUGACGUGUGGGUCCGUCGGGAAGUUUAUCUCGCGCGGCGCGGCUCGAUCGGACCAGGCGAUCGGUCCACGCGCGGUCCGAGCGGCGCGGCUCCACCACCCGACCAGGGAACACCUGGACAUCGCGCGCCGUCGAUCGGAACGAGAUCGAGCGGCUCUCGUUCGGCCGCUCGUUCUCUCUAGAUAGUGCGCGUGUAUUUUUUAGGUUUUGGGAUAAAUAAACUGUGAGAUGCUUUCACGGUGGGCCUUUGCCCAUCCCGUACUAUUCCACUCCACCGCCGCCAUCCAUCUCUCAUCCCAACCUACCUAUUCCAGCCGCCUCCAAGCUAUGGAGAAGCCAGUGAAGGUGCCGAUGUCCAGGCUCACCGACGACCUAAUCGCGGAGAUCCUCUCUCGGGUGCCCUACAAAUCACUCUGCAUCUGCAAGUGUGUGUGCCCGGCCUGGCGCGACCUCAUCGCCGACCCCGCGCACCGGAAGAAAGUUGUGCAGACCCUGGCCGGCUUUUUCUACCGCAUCACCGGCGAGGUCACGGCCGUCAAGUACGCCGACCUGUCCGCCUUCCCCUGGUCGAGCGUUCCCAAGACCUACCCACGCCUGCCACUGCCAACUGACAACAAUUUCUUCUCUCUUGAGGAUUCCUGCGAUGGAUUGUUUCUUGCCCGCAUUCGGACGGGCACCCCUGCUGGAAAAUUUCGCUACAUGGUCUCCAAUCCGGCCACGAAUGAGUACACUGUGCUGCCUGACUCUGGCUCCGCCGGCAACAUCUGCCUUGCUUACCUGGGUUUCGACAGUGAUGUUUCCACUCAAGAGUUUCAUGUGUUCGAGUUUGUACUGGUCCUCCGUGAGCCAUCCCUGGUUGUGAGGGGAGUGAAUAUUUACUCUUCAAAAACUGUUGCAUGGGUAGCAAUGGAACCCAAAUGGGACAUCCAAGUUACGUUGUGCUGGCGUAAACCAGGAGUUUUCCGUAAGGGGUUUCUGCACUUGCUGAUAGGUCAGUUUGGGUUGGCAAUACUUGAUGCAGAAGGGCUAACAUGGAGAAUUAUCCCGCUUCCAGUUGUAGAAAGUGUUAAUCCGUGUUUCUCCGGAUUCAUUGGAAAGUCUGCCGGACAGCUAAUUUAUAUCGACCGCGGUGCUAUUGAAGGACACGGCUCUAAUGCAUUGUUGACUAUAUCAGUUUACGUUCUUGGUGCUGAGAUAUGUCAGUGGGAUGUGACUCACCUGGAUGACAAGUGCAUGCGUUGGAAACUCUUGCACAAGCUUUCAAAUGUACUCCGAAGAAGAUGUUUCGGCUCUGUUUCAACCUCGAAGUCAUUGCAGUACACCCACAUGCCAAUAUAAUCUUCUUUGUAGCUCAUUGGAAGAAUGAACUGGUUGCAUACGAUCUGGAUCGUCAUGAGAAGCACAAUUGUGUAUCACAUUCACAUUGAGCCUAACUACUGGCAGUUUAUGAAUUUUUUCCCAUAUGUUCCAUCGUUGUCCCGCUUACCACUGGAUGGAGGAAUACAGCUGGCAACUCCAAAUCAAUGAAUGUUCUGCUCAUUAAAAGUUGGGCAGUCAGCGGUGAGGUGCUCCGGUGUGUUCUCAAGAGUAAUCUUCACAGAGAUUCAAAUACAGAUGAUAUUGUUUUGGAAAAUGCUAACUUCAGUUUUCAGUUCAGUUGGAAAAUGCCAACAAGUAGAGCUGCAUGAGAUACCUUAGUUUGUUAUAUUUUGACAUGUACUACUACUACCUUGUAUUUCUAUUAGAAUCUUAUGUUCUGAUAUGAAAAGGCAUAGUCUGAUAUGUGCACAUUCAAUCUGCAUUGGUUGGUUCUAUCUUGGUGUUUGCACUAAGNNNNNNNNNNNNNNNNNNNNNNNNNNNNNNNNNNNNNNNNNNNNNNNNNNNNNNNNNNNNNNNNNNNNNNNNNNNNNNNNNNNNNNNNNNNNNNNNNNNNNNNNNNNNNNNNNNNNNNNNNNNNNNNNNNNNNNNNNNNNNNNNNNNNNNNNNNNNNNNNNNNNNNNNNNNNNNNNNNNNNNNNNNNNNNNNNNNNNNNNNNNNNNNNNNNNNNNNNNNNNNNNNNNNNNNNNNNNNNNNNNNNNNNNNNNNNNNNNNNNNNNNNNNNNNNNNNNNNNNNNNNNNNNNNNNNNNNNNNNNNNNNNNNNNNNNNNNNNNNNNNNNNNNNNUUAUAUUCAUAGAAGUUUGCAUACGUAUGAAGCAUAUAUUGUGAUCACGCUGUCUCAAAAGGCUGAGAAAUGUCAAUGUUGAUGAUCCGUAAUCCUAGCUGGUUUAUAUCUGUCUCACAAAAUGGUCAAAAUCUCCUAAUAGGACUUGGAACCGUUUCUUGCUCCAUUUUUUCUUCUUCUAAUGGCUCCAAAUUCCAUGUCUAGAGUAUGUAGUUACGUUUUCCUGUCCUCUUUCGAUCUUUCAAUUUUGUUGGUCUGUGAUAUGAUUCCACUAUGAGAGGCACUAAUAUCUUCCCCCCUGUAAUUAACUAGUAUGUUCCAGUUCCAUCAGUUUGAGAUGAAAGUGUAUCCCUGAUUUGAAGCUUUUUACUAUUCACCAACCAAUAAACUAAAUAUUUUAGCCCUCACCUAUGGAAUCUUCGUCUAUAUCUGAACCUGACUGUUUUUGCUAGCAGCUUUCAAGAUUCUAUGUGCAAAAUGAAAGGUCCUAGUCCAUCUUUCUUUGGCUAACCAGAGUAGUUGCCUUGUCUCUACCAGUAUCAAAACAGACAGUGUAAUUUGCACUAUGCUGAUCACUCAGAUGUGGAGUAGAAUUAAUCAUUUCAGGGACAUGUUUAGUACAAUGAUAGAAUUAUUUUUUCCCAGUAGAUAAGCAUGUCAAUGUGUAUUCCGCUGAAUAAUGUGAAGCAUAUUGGCUGCUAAACCUUGCAUGCCCUCUAUUCCCUCUAGUAAUUAUCUACGGUUAUAUCCUCACUCGGACAGAAUUUUGUUAGCUCUAUGCUAAUUCUGUAUAAAUAAUGGUUACCAAUAUUCAUGUGAAGUUCUUAAAAGUCUUCUGUUGAGUCAAUUCUUGAGUAACGUAUAUAUACAAAUUUAGAGAAUCAUUACCUGUUCUUCUGUAGCCAUCUCUGCCUUGCUGUGAGGUGGCAAGAGGCAGUUUUCUUUAUGUUGGGUUGUUAUUCUGUUUUGCAGACUCAAAUAAGCAGCGUAUCAGUUACACGAAACCUCAGAUUUGACGCAGACCUCAUUGGUUGGCUGCCAAAGCCGUGGGGUUAGUUUGCUUAGUACACUCACUACAUAGUUUUUAGCUUUCUCUGCUGUGCUUUUCUCGCCUUUUUCUAUACAGAUCAAAUGUCUCAUACCUUAUCUGUUUUUUCUAAUUAUUUGCUAUCGCUGCAGUGCAGCGAUUUUAGACUGAUCUAAGCCCAGAUUAUGCUGUGGAAGACAGAUUCAUCAGAGGUUGCCUGAUCUAAGCCUAAUCUUCUACCCCUUUCAAGCACAGUUAGUGUUCGGAUGCCAGUCGGCGGAUGCAUCGGCCAAGCAUCAAUCAGUUCACUUCCAUCAGCAGGCUACGUUAGCACGGCGACUUCGUCGAGAUUGUUGGAUGGGUACCCACAGACUACGAAGCCCAAGAAACAAUGGGUAAACUCAAAGUCUGUAUAAUGUUGGUGAAAUUUGGGGACAUAAAUAAACUUAAGCAAGGCGAGUCGGCCAGGCAGUGGAUGACUAUCACCCCGCAGCAGCUAAGCAGGAAACGCUGGAUGGACCGCACCAUGCCGCCGUUUCCGUAUAUACAGAUGCAGAGCAAGAUGAAAGCUGCAGCCUCUCGUUCUGGCUACAUCGCAGAUUCAGAGAAAUAUUUGCUGGCUCUUAAUACGACACCUCAUAUUUGGCAAUAGUGACAACUUUAGAAAGACCUGUUGUUGGUGACGACGCUGAAUAGGUGCCAUCUGAUCCACGGCGUUCUUCGUGGCAAACACCGCAGCGCCGGACACGAGUCAGGUUUGAAGACCCUGUGUGCAUGCCUACGAGCUGCAGAUGCUUCAUGUGGCUAGCUGCCAAUAUUAGAUGCUGGACAGCGGAUAUGCUUCGACGCCGUGGGCUUUCAGCGACCAGCUGCCGGAGACGAUGUCACAUUUGCUGCUUGGCUUUGUCGUCGUGCGAGAGGUCUGGCAUUCCGUCCUCCACGAACGGCAGCAUAUGGAGUCGAUGUCUGACCACGACUAUAAGCUGAUUUACAUGGUGAACAACACAGUCAACGCGACGAAGGGAUGCAAGAGACAUGUGGAUAGCCGUCCUGUCUGGCAGUGCGGUGAAUGAUGUGAUCUUCAAUGACGUGGAGGUUUAAGGAGGCAUUGCUGUCUAUACCUACAAGAAGAGAAUGUGGACAUUUUUGUCUUGAGGAACUGGGUUUAGCUUUGACAGAUUUUGCUGUGCAACCGUGCCACUGUUCAACUCUGAGUAUAGUCUGUUGUCUGAACAAGUUAGCAGGAGCAUAGUCGGCACCAGAAGAUUUGGCAAAUAACUUCAGAAAUCUUGAUUGAACAUGGAUAUAUUAUUUCCUGGAAGGUAAGUCUAUAUAUUCAACAAGUUAGUAGCUGCAUGAUUGAUAAAGAGAUGUGGGCAUAUACUAUUGUUAUCCUGAUUCUAAGUUCUAGACAAUAUACUUCAACAGCUGGAGCCAUAUCAUUAUGUACAUAUAGCCACACUUCACACAUGCAAAUCAAGCUGUUUGGUUACUGCUCAGACAAGUCAGUCAAGCUCUUGCUCUACAACUAUGUCCCUGAUGGUAAUCUACAGGAGCUCCUCAGCGAGAACAGGAGCCUGGACUGGGAUUCAGGGUGGACACGGUCCGGGCCGGUCCGGUCCCUGACCGAGCCACCGUUUGGACCGGCCGCCGGCGGUCCGGACCGGACCGGACCGACCAGCCUCGCGGUCCUGGUUUCAAGGACCGGACCGGCGGCACUGAAGCCCGGGCCGGACCGAGCGGACCGGCCAACCACUACCAGCGACGACGUGCACGGGUGCACGGGUGCGCUGGCAAGGUGGGCGACGUGCGCACGACUGUGGCGAGAUGGGCGACAUGCGAUAGCGCGGGCGUCGAAGGGCGACCUGCUAUGGAAAGUGAUCUGGGUGGCGCGGCUGUUAGCCAUUAUUUUCUCUGUACCGUGAUGUUUCUUCCUUUGGCAGUUUUUCUACAGCAUGCAAGCAAUAUAGCACCUGCAUGAGCCCGUGAUUUUCUCUGUGAGGGCCUCGCCGUGAUUAGAGGAUCAAAUUGAACGUGGAGUUGAUCGUCAAAUGGCGCCGUGACUUUCGGAUCAGAUCCUUUUUCUCUCUUACUUUCUAUUUUCUGUUCGACUGAAACGGCAGCACGGGAUUGAUGGCGCGUGAUAAUAGGAAGAGGGCCCUAGUAUUAAAUCUUGGGCCUUCCAAAACAAUACUUUCCUGAUUUAUUGGAUGUGAAAAUCAUGACCGAGUAUUUCCCCCACGAUUCGAAAAUCACGAGAGAGUGUUUCUCCCACGAUUCGACUGGGCUGAAACGGCUGCUAUGGCACUUCGUCUGCACUGCAAAAAGCGUUGCCAUGGCAGGAAUUGCUGCCACGGUUGGGUCGAUGACAUGGUCGAGAACUCGAGAUCGGCGGCAGUUCACGCAUGGCAGCGAUGGCGAGCGGCAGCAAAAGGCUACGUCGCAAGGGUACGAGAGGAAGGAAGAAGAAGGGAAGCUCAUGGACAUGGUGGUUCAUCCAGGGGCUGCCGGUGGCCGCGAUGGCGAGGAACGGUGACUGCGGUGAUCGCGUUUUCUCGGUCCGCUCGGUCGGACCGGUUAAAGACCGGACCGGACCGAGAUUUUUUCGGGCCGAAUAUGGCAGCCCGGACCGCCCCUUUUCGCUAGCGGGCCAGGACCGAGCGGGCCAAGACCGAGCGGGCCACGAGCGGGCCAGAAAGACCGCUCGUUACGUCCACCUCCGACUGGGAUACACGGUACAAGAUCGUGGUCGGGGCAGCACUGAUACUCUACCGGGAUGUCAAGUGCGACAACAUCCCACAUAACCGACAUCAACACACAUACGAAAGUAAGCACGUCGAUAGAAAGUAAAGUCAUACAAGACCGAGCUUGCCCACAUGAAAAAAAAACCGAUGCCAUCGAAACAACGAUUGACAAAAUGCAACAACGACCUAAUUGAACCGGGUGCUUAUCUCCACUGAUCUUGGUUUCUCAGUUGGUUUUGCUGAUCAGGCAUGGUAUUGUUUGGGCAGACUGGGUGAUGAUGUAGAGGGUGGUUAAAGGGAGUGGAUUCGCGAAAGUGCUCUUCUGAUCCCGAGCUUCAUGUGAGCUCGGGUGAACAGUAAAUGGAAAAAAAAUCUGAUUUUUUUGUUCCAAACAUUGGCAAAUGUUUUCAUUGCUUGCAAAAUUUUAUCAUGAAAUGACAUUCUUGAAAUUUGUGUAAAAAAUGAUGCUCCAAAAUACUUUUGAAAAUGAAAUUGCUGCUCAUAACAAAGCUCCAAAUUAGGGAGGUAGAAAAAUAGAUUGCGGUGAGUGUGGAUCGAACACAUGACCUUCAGAUCUUCAGUCUGACGCUCUCCCAACUGAGCUAUCCCUGUUAUAGCCUGUUGUCUAGGUGCAUAGUCUGCACCGGAAGAUUUGGCAAAUGGCAUAGAAAUUCUUAUUGAACAUAGAUAUAUUGUUCUUGGAAGGAAAGUAUAUAUAUUCAACAAGUUAGUACCACCGGUUGCCCCAACACAUGUGCAUCUGUAGCACCAACAGCUGCUCAUCUGUUGUCAUGCCAUCUCGCAACGACUAUAUGCAUCUGUAGUAAUUCUGACAGAAGAAGCAAUACAUUUUUAUCAACAUGAAAUUUGUUUGGUAAAAUCCAUGAGAACUUCAUCAGUAACCAAUUGAUUGAUACCCCACAUAUGACAAGCAAGCGUGUUCCUUUCCAAAAAACUUCAAAAUGGACAUCACUUUUUCAUGAGUUCUUUCGGGAGUAAAGUAAGGUAAGGUCUUUGGUCACCAUUUACCUACCAUUUUAGUUAGUUCUACAUGUACAACUGAUUCAGCAACUCGAAAGGAAUUCUUUAAAAGGAAAUCAGUUAAGCAACUCGAAUGAAUCCAUCAUGCAUUGGUCUCAAAUCCAAGGAAAUAUGAGCAAAACCUCCCAAAUCUAAACAAAGCACCGAACAUCUUUCAGACGGAAAUUAACUCUUUCAGAACCUUUCAAAAGAUGACAUAUCAAGGAUCAAAAUCGACCACAUAGAUUGAUGACCAAGACUUUAUCCAUUAGUCUGGAUGCCUCAUAUGAUGAUAAUUCCAACCAUGGAACCACAGGUGUGGUGAUCCGUGAUAGCCCACGUACUCUUAUUCAUACACAUGCCCUCUGGUAUGAUUUUGCUGCUAGUCCAAUGGCGACGGAAGCUGUGGUGAUGUGCAAUGGAGUGCACAUGCCUCUUGAGAGGGGGUUAUGUAGAGUAAUGAUUUAGAGUGAUGCACAAGCUGUCAUCAAGCUAUGGGAGUCAUGCGGCUUUGAUCGAGAUUGCUGGAGCCUUGCGGAUUGAAGAACUGAGUGUGCAUUUUGAGAGUUCUAUGCCGAGCUUUGUUGGACAAGAUGCUAGUAUGGCAGCUCAUCUAUGUGCUAAACUGGUGGCCAAGUUUAGGAAGAGAUGUUUAUGGCUUAAUUUUACCCCUCUACUCCUAAUGAACAUAUUGCAUUGUGAUUGUAUGCUUGAUUAAGUAAGCAAUAAAGCUCUUCACUCACAAAAAAGGUAGAAAUUGCAAUGCGGCCAUCCCAGCAUAUCAAAACAUUUCUGGUUGUGGCGAUGACCUUUCUUUUCCAUAUGAUCCUACAAAAUGGACUGGGUUUCACUAUCAAGGGAUAACGAAACGACAAAUGCACAAAAACGUCCUGGUGCAAGAACAUAGCCUAAAACUGGUUUCAAUUGCUAACAACAAAAGCUAAUGGAUCCAAAUCUACUGCAAGUUGACUUGGGGUUCACAAUCAUCCCAAGCAAAAUGUUUUCGAUCACUAGCAUCAUCAUUCAGAAAACUCCAUUGCAUCGUUCCUCAUCCAUUCUUUCUCCAUUAGUUCACCUUCACCCACUUCUUGUUCCUCAUUUUCUCCAGCGUUACUCGCCUUGAUCUUCAACACAAGACUUCUUGGCUCCGCGCACCCACCAACAUGAUGUGCCAAUGCUUCUCGCUUCAAAGCAACAACACCUUGUUCCAGAAUCACACACUCUUCAUUAUUUUGUAGAUCUGCCCAAUAAAGCAUAAACAUGCAUGCAUAAUAGACGAAUUCAGCAAGAAAUCUAGUAAUUUUUUUCUCAAAACAAGAUCUAUUACAUAACUCGGAUGGGAAUGUAGUGGCUUAUCGUGAGGGUGAUGCACUCAUGGACUUGUAGUAGAGCUGGUAGCUGCCACGACAGCUUCCCUAUAUGUGGGUGGCCUUGAGGCAGGCGUCGUGGAGGGGCAUCUCUCCUCCAUCUCCUAUUAGGUCACAUCUAUGGAGUCCCUCAGCGUCUACCAUGACGUUGCUAUCAGGUCCCAUGGCUAUGGCUACUUCAAGUUCCACUCACAGAAUGAUGAUGAGAUCUGAUCUAUUAGAUCCCCAAAUACCUAAAGCAUU
This 59946-nucleotide long non-coding RNA is filed under the name Triticum aestivum (bread wheat). Its description in RNAcentral is "long non-coding RNA (TAES_LNC016889)". Lineage: Eukaryota; Viridiplantae; Streptophyta; Magnoliopsida; Poales; Poaceae. The record is from RNAcentral.